Molecule: long non-coding RNA, 64655 nt
Filed under: Ananas comosus (pineapple)
Lineage: Eukaryota; Viridiplantae; Streptophyta; Magnoliopsida; Poales; Bromeliaceae
Description: long non-coding RNA (ACOM_LNC021836)
Source: RNAcentral
UAAUAACAAAAAAAUAAUAAUAAUAAAAUUUGAAGAUGGAUUCACUCUAUUCCACUACAACAGAAUUAGGUUAUAGGGAUACAUGUUUGGAACACUUUUGUAUAAGUGUCCCAUUUAUGCUAAAACUUUUAAAAAAAUCUACUAAUGCCUAACUAUAAAGCCCAAUCCAACUAAAAAUAAAAAGUUACUCCUUCAACACACUUUCACUGAGCCCAUUCGGCCUGAUUACAAACAGAAAAGAAAAAGAAAAAGAAAAAUCGAUUACCAUCUCUUUUUCUCCCCUCACUCAAUCCACUGAAAUUCUAGACGAAGAGCCCUUCCCUCUCGUUCUCCUCCGCCACUGCAGCAAACGAGGUAGUGUUCCGGCGGUUGCUAAAUGUUUAAAUAAGUGUUGGUAAUUUAGCAGCACUUUUUUUAGGUUAUGGCGACACUCUUUAACUGUUACUAUAUACCUAGCGAUCCCACAUAUAGCAACACUUUUUAAAAGUGUCAGUAAUUUAGCCAGCAGUACUUUUUUUGACUUAUACCGACAUUUAAAAGUGUCGCUAUAGACCGUUUUUGUUGUAGUGUUCUUAAAUGCUAAUGUUUAUAUCAUAACUAGAAGUGAAUUUUUUUUUUUUUUUUUGUGUUUUGAAUUUACACAAAAUCAUGCGAAAGAUAUGCGAGUAAAACAGGUGUUUAAUUAUUAACUUUGUUCGAGCAAAUCGGUGUCUAUUAAACUAUUUAAUAAAAUUUUGCAAAAUUAAGCUCAGAGAUUUAUUUGCAAAAGAGCUAAAAUUCAGGAGAUCUUUAUACAUUUUAUGGUCGAUUAAAUAGUCUGAUUUAUCCUUUUUUUUCUUUUUUUUCUUUUUUUUUGGUCUUUCUCAUGCAGGAAAACUAGAAUGGAGCUCACAGGCAAAGUCCUAUUCCAAAUUUUCCUAUGCUCAAUUUUUGGGUGAGUAUAAAUUAAUUUCCAUAAUAGGGAAUAAUAAGUGUUAUAAUUAAUCUAUGAAAAAAAAUAUUGUAAUAUGAACCAUAUUGAAAUUAAAAUAGUUCAAUCCUGGUUUAUUCGGUUUGAACACAAAAUCUAUUAAAACUAGUUAUAUAAAUCUAAGUAUAACAUGUCAGAUAUAAGCUAUGUAUCACGGACACUUUUAUUAGCCAAGGGUGUUUGUGUUCAUAUCGAAAACAUGUCUUAUGUAGACGCUCAUUGGGCCUGUGUUUAAUACUCAUACAUAGCUCAAACAAUUAAAAGAAAGAUAUACAUAUUUUUAUUUUACUUUUUUUUUUUAUGCAUUAUAAAUGUAAAAUGAUAAAUAUUUUAAUUUUUGGCUGAAUGCAUAUAAUUUUUUUGACAAUAUAAAUAAAUUAUAUAUAGUGUAGAAUUUUUUUCUUAAAAUAUAUAAAUUAUCAAUAAAAAUUUUACUAACUUUCAUCCGUAAUAGAAAUAUAAUAAUAUUUUAUCAAAAUUAAUAUUUUAUAUAUAAUAAAUAUAUAUUAUCAUAUUAAUAAUAUUAUAUUUUAUUAGUGGUGUCCGUAUCAUAUCCGUGUCCUAAUUUUUUGAAGGCUGCCGAGUCGUGUUGUGUCCCGUAUCCUGUGUAAGUGUUCGUGAUGCCUAAAAUAUAAGUAAAAUUAAUCUUAUUUUUUAAACUUUUUGAUCUAAUGGUAAUAUUUAUUAAGCAUUUUUUAACAUGCAUAAAUUUAUUGGAAAUUUGGUUAAUUUAUUUUUAUUCCAAAAUUCACACAAUUACUGAAAACAAAGAAAAAAAAAUGGUCGUAAGUGACGAAGUUGAUUUAGUGCAUAUUUUUUUUUUGGUGAAUUAAUAAAAUAAUCAGAUAUAUUUAUUUAUGUAUUUAUACGCGUAGGGCUACGAUGAACCAGAUACUGUAUUUUGAGGGGCUCAAGUAUUCCACACCGACAAUAGCGUGUGCCCUCGGUAACACGCUACCCGCCAUCACCUUCAUCAUGGCCGUUCCUUUCAGGUAUAAAUAAUUCGAUAAUAUUUUUAUUUCAAUUCUCAAUUUAGAAUAAAAAUUAGGGUUAAUUUCAUAUGUCUAUAAAAAUAUAGUGAAUGAUAAAUAUAUUUCUAUAAAAUUCAAUUUUUAUAUGUUAUUCCUAAAAAUACCAUGAUGUUUUCAAAUAUAUCCGUACUCAGUAUCUGUUAGAAAAAUUUAGUUAACCAUAGGUUAAAUAUUUAAUCUUGAUUAGUUUUUGAUAUUUUUAUUCCUCUUAUAUUAUAUUGUUAUGAUUUUUAGAGCGACAUAUUUGUGAUGGCAAAAUUGAAAAUAUAAAUAGUUUUCUAACAGUAACAAAUUAGAGAGAUAUAUUUGAAAAUAUUAGAACUUUGACAAAGACAAUAUAUAAAAAUUAAAUUUUUUAGGAAUAUAUUUGUUAUUUACUAUAUUUAUAGGAACCUGUAUAAAAUUAAUCCUAAAAAUUAUCACUUAUAUUUGAUUUGGCAUGCAUGUUAAAAAUCUAAUAGUUAAAAAUAAAUAAAAAAUGCUAUUUUUAUACUAUCAAUAAUAGAAUUCCAACUACAUUCUUAUAAUUACUUCUUUAUUAACAUAAAUACUUAUUAUACUUUUAUUUUUUAAAAAAAUUGAACUGUAAUAUUAGUGCUGAGGUUAUAACAUGUUGGCAUGAUACAGAACAGAGGUUAUAACGUACCGAUAUGAUACAAAAUCGAAAUACGAAAUCUGUGUCGAUGGGUGUUUAAAUACUUUAGUUAUAUAUUUUUUAAUUUUAUUUUUAAGAGGGAGAGAGAUGGGGACAUAAAAAGUGCAUGUUAUACUCACGAGAAAAUGCACCGAGCUUUGGCACACAUGAUGGACAUGGCACCUCUCUCUCUCUCUCUCUCUCUCUCACACAACCGCGUCUUAGUUUAGAGACACGACGGAGUGACACGUGGAAGCUUCUCCACCGCAAACGUGUGGAGGAAAAAGUCAACUCAUUAGGAGAAAUUCCUUGGUGUAACAGUAAAAAAAGAAAGAAAGAAGGAAAAAGACAAAAAAAGAAAAAUAUAUAGCAGUCACAGGAGAAAUAUGGCCUGUGUAAUUAAUCAUAUAUUUAGCUUUUAAAAUUUGGGAAUAAUUACCUAUAUAUCCUUCAAAUUUUAAAAAAAUCUCAUUUAUUUUUUUUUCAAUAUACUCCUUAUAUGUUCUUCCAUUAUAGCUACCAUCCGUUAAGUUAAUUUAGAUUAUAAACGGGAGUUAAGUAUUUAGUAGGGUUAAAAAAAAUUAAACUAUCUCUUUUGUCCUUAACUUAAGGACAAAUAAGAAAUAUUUGUGCUGAUAGAAGAGUACAUUUGAAUAUAACAAAAAUCAAAAUACUCUUUGUACGACUAACUUAAGGACAAAUAAGAAAAGUCGGUGAUGAUUUGAAAGGAUAAAAUAAUAAUUUUAUAUAAAUAAUAGCUAUUGCUAAUCGUUCAUUAAUGAAAUUUAACUCUAGAGGUAUAUUUGAAAUAGUUAGAACGUAAGAAAGGUAUUUUUAAUAUUAGCUUUCUAAAUCAGAAAGUGAGAACUUUUCAGGGAUAUAUAAGUAAUUACUAUUAAAAUUUAUGUAUUUUAUCAUAAUUUUUGUUAAUUUUUUAAUAUUUUUUUUUAAAAAAAUAUAAUUGGCUGGAUAUAAAUAAUGUGACGUAGAUGUUAUACAUUAGACUUUUUGUGUUACCGUUGACUUCAAAUUAUCGUGAUGCUUUGCCCUGGUCCACCGAGUCAGCUGUGAACCGGGCACCAUGGCAUAGUUCUUUUUUAGAAUUCAAAAAAUAUUUUAUCACUACUUUUACUUAUUUAGAUUUUAAAUUAGUAAUUAAAAAAGGCUGGUGAUUUGAAACCCCACGCGCGCCUUUAAAAUCAGUGGUUCAGCCUCUCGUUUGUCGAAAAAAUAAAAAUUUCCAUCAUUAAAAGAAGUAAUAUGUGAGAAUCUUCUACGUAUCUUCAUUUUAGAGCUAAAUAAGAAGCUUUAAAUUAAAUUUUUACGAUUCAAAAUUCUAUUUUAGUUUUCCUUGCAUGCAUUUGAUCCCAAACGGAGCCUAAAUAUACUCAAUUGCUCAUUACAUUUCGUAUUUAGCUUUUGUGUUUUAACAAUCAAUUAGUACAUAUAUAUUACCGUUAGAUUUACUUCUCAGAUCCAUUUCAAUCAUNAUAUAUACCAAUCCACAAAAUCAUAACUAGAUAUCAUCCUUUGAUCAUGUUUGAACAAUUUAGGAUUAUUUAUUUAUAUUUAUAUUUUUCUAUAUUUGUAAAUAUAUUUUCCAUAACAAAAGAGCUCAAACUCAUUAGUAUUAAAAAAAAAUAUUAUUUCUAAAUGAAAUAAACAAAACGGGUAGUGUGACCUAUGUCCCAAAAAACAUAUAUAUAUGAAUUUUGUUUUUCAAAUUUUUGCUAUUGCAGGAUGGAGACAGUUGGCAUUAAAUCAUUGGCUGGGCAAGCGAAGGUUGCAGGUACAGUGCUGUGUGUUGGGGGGUCCAUGCUGAUGACAUUCUACAAAGGGAGCCUCAUCAAGCUGUGGCCCUCCCACAUUCACUGGAGAUACGCUGAAAACGCGACCGCCGGCGGCGGCGGCAGCGGGAACAUGGCCCUCGGUGCCGUGCUCGUCAUCGCCAGUUGCUUCGCCUGGUCCAUCUGGUUCAUCAUUCAGGUAGUCAUACGAAAUGGAAAAAAAAGUAUAAAACUUUUUAGCUAUCGAUCGUUUUAAUACAGUCUCAGAAUGGUUAUCCGAUCGCUAGUUAGUGGUUUAAUUCUUCAGAAUUGAUAUUCGUCUCAAAUAUCACAUCUUAUAUUUGAAUAAUCAGUUUUACGUGUGGUGAAACAAAUCGAGGAAACAUAUAUGAAGUUGUUUUGUUGUAUUUUAUUUUAUUUCUCUGAGGUUGACUUUGUCGAGUUUUUUUGCGAAUGCUUUUAAAGUGAUCGAUUUAUUCUGUUUGAAUAUAUUCUAUUAAAUGUGACAGACUAAGAUGAGCAAGAGCUUUGCCUCUCCUUACACGAGCACCGCGAUAAUGAGCUUGAUGGCCGGCCUGCAGUGCUCCGUCAUUGGCGUCGGCGUCGAGUGGCGUCUUUCUGCGUGGGCACUUGGUUGGGACAUCAGGCUCGCUGCCGUCCUCUACAUCGUAAGCAUCUUAGACCCUCCGUCCACAUUUGCUCUUUGCGGCUCGACCGUUUAGCCCCGAUCGACUUUACGAUGUGGCAUUCUACAAUUCUCAUACAGCUUCUCUCGAUAGCAGAGAAUAUAUAGGAGGCUCCGAAUAGGAGUCUCAAAUUUUGAGCUUUUCGCCAUUUUAGACAUGAAUUGCGAAGAUUCUUUACUUUUCUACUUGCCAAACAUUUUACAAGUAAUUGUCACCGUUGAGAUCAGAAACAAAAACUAGGCUAAACAUUUUCGAUUGUACACUCUCAAAUAUAUUCUCACCUUGAUCUUAUAUCAGGGGAUCAUUGGCUCCGGUCUCGCAUUCGCGCUCAUGUCUUGGUGCAUUCAAAAAAGAGGUCCCUUAUAUGUUUCGAUGUUCAGCCCUUUGCUACUCGUCAUAGUCGCAAUCCUCGGAUGGGCCAUCCUUGAUGAGAAGCUAUAUGUUGGGAGGUAUAUCUAAUUCCUAUAUGUAUAUAUUUUUCGUAACUUAUCAUAAGCCAACACUAGAACUUAUUCGGUCGGUCUAUUUUGACAUUCCGGCUUGGUCUUUGUACUUUCCACUCAAAUAAACACGUCAGUAUCGUUGCGAGUGUUCAAGUGUAAACAUUUAAGUACGAAGGUAUUUGAGUUGAAAAUACAGAGACCAAGUCGCAAUAUUGAGUUAAUACAGAACGACCCGAAGAAGAGAUUUUGAUAUUUCGCUUCUAAUUUGGUUCAUAUCUUUUCUCUUUUGGUAGCGCCGUGGGAUCGGCUCUUAUAGUUGGAGGACUCUACAUGGUACUCUGGGGGAAAGGGAGAGAGAUGAAGAAGAUGAUGAAUUUGGACGACAAAAUAGUUGAAGUAGUGCAACAAGAGAGAGGGGUAGUUGGCUCUCCUACCUUGCCUAUUUAUCUCAACAGCAGUAAUCAGGAGGAUCAGUGUGGCCAACCAUAGAAGGGGAUUUCCUUUUUCCUAUCUUCUGAAUCCUAGUUUGGGAUUGCAUUGUCUAGAAACAAAAGCAUUGCAUGUAUUCUGGGCUCUUAACUUGUGCAUGUACUAAAAUGUGAGAAUGACUGUGAACAACAAUUACAAAUAUCAUCAUCAUCAUCAUCAUGUCUUAUAAGACUCAUUAAAACAAAACUGGUGUGAAACAAAGUGCAAUAAAAAAGUUAAAACUUCAUGCUUGGCCCAAUGGGGGUAAGAAAGGGUGUUCCAGUAAGUCACAAGCCCAAGACUAAUUAGGGUUAGGAAUUAGGGGCCCUUUGGUUAGAUGUAAUGAAAAAUAUAGUAUAGUUAAAGAUGCGUAUAGCUGAAAAUACAACUAUUAUAAUUGCAUACAUCUUGUUCGGUUGAAUGCAAUAGAAAGUUGUAAAUAAUUUAUUUGGUUGCAUGUAGUUAGGAAGUCCAUUUUUACAAUUUAGCAUUUUAUAUAUGUGAGAGCGAGAUUACCUUUAAUUAAUUUAUGAUAAAAAAUAUUUUCUAGUUAACAACCGAUCAGACUUCAAUUUUAAUGGAGUUACAAAAGCAGCGCAGUUACAAUUAUAUACAACCAAACAACCCCAUAGUUGAGUUGGCGGAACAGGCAUUAUAAGAACAAACCAGCUAUGGAUUCAUCCAGAAUGCCAUAUAAUCUUAAGCCAAAUAUGCAGGUAAUUUUUUUGCUUCCUAGCCUAAAUCUUCUUCUUUUUUUUUGCAACUCUCUGCACAGCAAAUUCUCCAAACAUUUUAUUUCUAAUUUAAUGAAAAUAAUAAUAGAGUCGUUUAUGAUAUAUUUCUUUAAUUACUAAAUUUCAUUAAUAAGGAAAACUACAAUUUCGCCUAAACUCUUAAUUUGAAAAAAUAAAAAUAAAAAUUAAAGAGAUGCGACCUACAAAAACCAAACUUAGGGAUACUAAUUAGAAUGGCCUUUGAGAAUCACCAAAUCAUUUAACAGGAUUUUCACUAGCAAGUGAUGGAGGAUCAAAUUGAAAGUUAAAUAAAACGUUCGAUCGUAAAUUGUAAACUCUCUAAAUAAAUAAGAUAAAUUAUUCGCCAAGCAAUAAACUGUAUAGAAAUAAUUGCCGCAAAAUUAAGUACCCAUAUUCUUAUAUUCGCAUAGUUUUGUGUUGAUGUGGAAAAUAUUGUAUGUUGCAACAUUGAUGGAACUUUUGUUUUUAGUUUUUUAUAACUUAGCUUGGACUUCUAUUGACUUUUUAGUACUCAUGAGAGAUGUAGCAGCAGAGAGAGAAGCACGAUGAAAGGUUUUAGAAUAAUCAGAAUAUACGCGCACAACUUUUCAACUAUGAAAAUUUAAAAUGAUAUUCUCUACUUUUUUUCUUAUUUUGAAUUAAAAUUUGAUUUUUUUAGAAUUAAUAUAAUUUUAGUCCAAAAUUUUAAAAAAAUUAUUAGAUUUAUGAUCAUUUUCUCAAAUUUUGAAUUUUCAUUUGGAUCUGCAUGUUCCAAACGUGGUCGGAUUCAGCCCACUAUCCAUUCUUGGCGAAUUCUUUAACUAACCCGUCGUCAAUAACCGCCAUACCAAAGAUCUAACAAUUAGUAAGAACCAGGUCCACCACGUCAUCAGUGUAUCUCAAACGAUCGACUCUCCACAUCAUCCUUCUUUAAAAUCACAACCGUCCAAUAAAUUUCUAUUUUUUGAAAAUUUAAAAUGGAGAUUUAAAUAAAAAUCGAGCGAACCGCUGAUAAUUUUGGUCCACAAUGAGUUGGUGCACCAGGUUCAGAAAUAUAAUUUGUAUGUUUCUUCUAGGCGUUUCCCUUCACCCCACUUUCCUUCCCGAAAUACCCCAGGCCAAAACUCUUCUCUCUCUUCUCUCUUUCUCUCUCUCUCUCUCUCUCUCCUCUUCCAUCCUCUCCAAUCCUCCGAACCCUCUCCUCGGACUCUUCUUCUCCCUCUCUCUCUCUCUCUCUCUCUCUCUCUCUCCUCCCAUCGCCAUGUCGCGUCUCCGCCCCUCCUCGCGCCGCCUCCUCUGGUGCGGCGGCGCUGCCGCCGCCGCCGGAAUCUUCCCAAAAUGCCCACACCACCACCACGUCCUCGGCCGCCGCCUACUCUCCUCCGCCGCCGCCGCCGCCGCCGCAGCCCGCCGCCUCCUCGACCCAGCCCCGCUCUCCCCCGAUCCCAUUCGUGUUCCACCACCUCGCCCCCUCGGGGGCGCUUUGGGGACCCUCCGCCGCCUCCACACGUUGCCGGAGCAGGUCUCCGGCGCCGGCCUCGGAGGCGGGGACAAGACCUUCGAGACUAUCUGCAUCCACGGGGUCGGCGCGAGGCCUCUCGUGGUGGAGAACGUGGCGGCGGCGUCCGGAGCCCUAGAGGACGACGAGGAGGAGGAGGCUAGGGUUAGGGUUAGAGAAUCCGAGGUGGGAGAAGAAGGUGCCGUAACCCUAACGGAAGAGGAAGCUAAAGUCAAAGAGGGUAGCGGCAGAGACGCGAUUUUGGACGGAUCGGAGGUCGAAUCGGAGGCGAGGAGGGAAAAAGAGGAGUCGGCGACGGAGAAGGAGGCGUGGUGGCUUCUGAAUAGGGCGGUGGUGAGCUACUGCGGGAGCCCGAUUGGGACCGUGGCGGCGAACGAUCCCGGAACGGUGAACCAGAUGCUCAAUUACGACCAGGUUUUUAUCAGGGAUUUCGUUCCCUCCGCCAUUGCUUUCCUCCUCAAGGGAGAGGGCGAGAUCGUUCGCAAUUUCCUACUCCACACCUUGCAGCUUCAGGUUAAAUAUCUUCUAUUUUUUCGAUCGAAUACCUUGUUAGGCUAUCAUAUUGGUACUAUUGUUGUUUAGUAACUUCUUUUUAGGGUUGGCAAUUUUGCUGAAUACUUGGACAUAAUGUGCUUAAUAUUUUCAUGAGAAUGUUUUUUAAGUUGUUUAAUUUUUGUUGGUAGGAUGUGAAGAAUUCUAGUAGUUGCUAAAUCUGGCAAAUUAAACUGAAGUGAAUUGUUAGCACCUACCAGAGAACUCAUUGGCGCCGCACUAAAUGAUUCCUAAUUGCAAUGAAAGGUAGCUAAAAGAAGUAAUCUUAAGAAAAGCUGUUUGUGAUGCACUAAUGGGCAGUAACCUAAUAAAGAUAUAUACUGAGAAUUACUUUAUUCAUGAAGGAGUUCCGUACUUUGUUAUUACAUAAGUUUUAGUAGUAGUUGAUGAGCCAGUUAGUUCAUUUUUCUUGUCGACACCAUUGAAUGAUCUUGGUAUGAGGAAAAACAAAAAAUAUUAUGCGUAAUUAAAGGUAUUGAACUAUGACAUCCUGUUACUCUCCGUAGACAGGACUGUCUAUAUGCUUUUAGAUCUCAACAAAUAUUGAAUUUCGAAUCUCUCAACAUAUGAAUUCCUUGUAAACUACAAUCCCUGCAAACCUGCUAAUUUCAAUUUUCUCACGUCUAAAUGGUUUCUAUGCUACUUGGUGAGCAGAGUUGGGAGAAAACUGUGGAUUGCUACAGUCCUGGCCAAGGGCUAAUGCCUGCUAGUUUUAAGGUUAGAACUGUGCCUUUGGAUGGAAGCAACGAAGCGUUUGAGGAGGUUUUGGACCCUGACUUCGGAGAAUCCGCUAUUGGGCGUGUAGCACCUGUUGAUUCUGGUGAGUAUAUGCUGUGUACUUUUAUAGCUUUAUGAGUGUUUCUUGUGUUUAUACCUCCGCAAAUAUGUAAAACUGCAUAAAACCCGUACAAAACCACGUACAUGAGCAUAUCUCUGAGAAACCUUAUGUAUUUCCAUUCAUGACCCUGCCGUGGUAUCUAAGCAAAAAACUUUUUAAGCAAAUAUACCCCUGAUAUGGCAUGGAUGCAAAUUUAGGUUGUUCUUAGGGGUACACACGCAAACACCAACUCUGUAUGGGUAGGUGUGCAAUUUUGCAUGUUUGUUGGAGGCCAUUCUGUAAUGGCAAAUGGAUCUGUUAUUACAUAGAAUCAAUGGAUAAUUAGAGGGAUCUAAUGGUUAUCACUAUUGUUGCUAGGACUUUGGUGGAUUAUUUUGCUGAGAGCUUAUGGGAGGAUUACUGGAGAUUAUGCGCUGCAAGAGAGGGUUGAUGUACAAACAGGCAUUAAAUUGAUUCUGAAUUUAUGUUUAUCAGAUGGAUUUGAUAUGUUUCCUUCUCUAUUAGUCACUGAUGGCUCUUGCAUGAUUGAUCGACGGAUGGGCAUUCAUGGGCACCCUCUUGAGAUCCAAGUAAGUUGAUAUAGUACAUUUUCACUUCAGUGUUCUGUACUGUCAUUUAUAUCAGUUAGGUGCCCUAAGCUUGCUAGUCUAGUUUCUUUGGGGACCUUUCUAUUAAUCCUAUUAGAAUUUGUGUUUGGAUGGUGCUUAGGCUAUAUAGUCCUCAACGGUGCUUAGGCUAUAUAGUCCUCAACGGUGCUUAGGCUAUCUUAUUGACAUGCGUUUUCCUUUUGUCCCAAGUUGGUCCAUUCAUAGUUUGUUUGAUUAGAAAAUGCAGAAAGAUAGCUGAGGUAGCUUUUUUUUUUUUUCAUUUAUUUUCUGUCUUUUUAAGUUCUUUCCAGUCAAAUUACAUGAUCUGCCAAAAAAAGUUUAUAAUCAUUUUUCACUUUCUUAACAAAAUUCAUUUUGCAGGCUUUGUAUUAUUCAGCUUUGCGGUGCUCCCGUGAAAUGAUAUCAAUCAAUGAUGGAUCUAAGAACCUCGUCCGCGCUAUUAAUAACAGACUCAGUGCUCUUUCCUUUCACAUCAGGGAGUACUAUUGGGUGGAUAUGAAAAAGAUCAAUGAGAUAUAUCGUUACAAAACUGAAGAGUAUUCGCAUGAUGCCAUUAAUAAAUUCAAUAUAUACCCAGAGCAGAUUCCUUCAUGGCUAGUUGAUUGGAUUCCUGAAAAAGGAGGAUACCUGAUCGGAAAUCUACAGCCGGCCCACAUGGAUUUUAGGUUCUUUUCACUUGGGAAUUUGUGGGCCAUAGUCUCUUCUCUAGCCACUGAAAGGCAAGCGAAGGGCAUUCUCAAUCUUAUUGAAGCCAAAUGGGAUGAUCUAGUAGCAAAUAUGCCUCUUAAAAUAUGUUACCCUGCUUUGGAGUACGAGGAAUGGCGUAUUAUUACUGGGAGUGAUCCGAAGAACACGUGAGUGUUUUAAUGGACUAUCGUCUUUUUAGUGCUUUCCGAACAGCCUCUUUUUUCCCAAAAAAAAAAAAAAUUACUUCAGGAGGUAUGGGAUGUUGUACACCUCUACGUAACCAAAUUAUCAAAAGUUCUCCACAAAAAAAAACAUUUGAUACAUUUAAGAUUAUUAAGAUUUUCGAACCUUUAGAAAUUGUGGGCAAUAAUCAUUUUUGUCUAACAAGAAGCAUUGCUUUAUGUGCAGCCCUUGGUCAUACCACAAUGGUGGAUCUUGGCCGACGUUACUAUGGCAGGUGGCUUUUCCAUCACUUUUGACUCAAUAUCUGCCUUUCCCAAUUAUAAUUCUGAAAUUCUGAAGUUUUCUUCUGCAUUACAUUUGUCAGCUCACACUUGCCUGCAUUAAGAUGGGCCGACACGACCUAGCUGAGCGGGCUGUCUCCUUGGCCGAGAAGAGGCUAUCGAAUGAUAAGUGGCCGGAAUACUACGACACCCGAUCAGGGAGAUUCAUCGGUAAGCAGUCGCGCUUAUACCAAACAUGGACGAUAGCCGGAUUCCUCACCUCCAAAAUGCUUCUAGAAAACCCGGAAAUGGCUUCGAUAUUAACAUGCGAUGAGGACCUCGAGCUUCUGGAAGGUUGUGCUUGUUGCCUCAGCAAAAGUGCUCGGAUCAAGUGCUCCCGCUUAGCUGCCCGAUCACAGGUCCUUGUUUAAAAGGUGGCCAAGUUUACCACCCCUACUUUUCUUUUUUCUUUUAAAGAAAUAAAUUACAGUGUACACGAGAGGAAAAAGAAAAAUAUAUUGAUAGAGGUGUUUGAUUACUUCGAAAACAACAAAGGGAUUCGUUUGUUCAGGUGAAAGUGGUUCACUUGCAUGUUAGUAUCUGUACAUUAAAUUUUCUUCUUGCCGGAUAUUUCUGUAAAUAUUGCCAACUUCUUACAUCACUAACUAUUGUACUGGACCAUAGUCGAUGCAACAGAUUUUGACAGAUCAGCAAAUUGGAUGAUUUUAGAGAUGUAAAGUUGUUUUAGUCAGCUAUAUAUAUAUAUAUAUAUAUAUGUAUAUGGAAUUAUGUUACUAUACUAUCGAUAGUACCAAAUGUUUGGUACUAUUAAGUUUUCGGCCGUUGGAUGAAAGGAUGUGCAAUUAGGAUAAUAGUGGUCUCCGGGUAGGAUGAUAGUGAUCUCCUGGUUGGAUGAUAAUGGUUCCCUAGGGUUGAGUGGAUGGUUGAUUGAAUAGUAUAAUCUAAUGGAUGGAAAUGAUCAAAAGGUAGAUCUAACGGUAGAAACCUCGAUAAUAUUAAGAGCUUGGUACUGUUGCUAGUAAAGUAGUUAGACUCAUAUAGAAUUGAGCUCGUACCAUUGAAUUAAAGAAUGUGCGGUUAGGCUGAAGUGGGACCCUUAGGGUUGAGUGAGUGGUUGGUUGAAUAAUAUGAUCUAAUGAGUGAAAAUGAUAAAAGGAAUAGAUCUAAUGGUAAUAAAUUUACAAAUACCAAGUGUUUGAUGUUUUUAUAAGUACCAUAGCCGGACUCUCUCUCUUUCUCUCUCUCUCUCUCUUUCUCUCUCUCUCUCUCUCUCUCUCUCUAUAUAUAUAUAUAUAUAUAUAUAUGAGUCUAUGGGGGAGUAAUUUGUUUUUUACAUGAACUUUUAAAAGUUUUGAUAUCACUUACCUUAAUCUUACAGAAGAAUUUCAUAUAUCAAACAUAUUUCUAGCCCUUCCUGAUCGAGUAUUUUGAGACCUUAUAGAAUAUUCUUCUAUCUGAUGAAUUGUUACAUAAUUUUGUUUGGCUGAAAAAUAUGUGUCGACUUCUGACAAACCUUGCCUGCAUACUCUGGAAUCAAAAGUUGCCAAAAUUUCCAAGUUCAGGUUUCCGUCGCAAGAUCCACUACAUUUCAUGUGAAAUCUAAAUGAUGGAUCUUAAAUGAUUCAUAGACUAUUCACCUAUAGUAAGAAGUUGUCAUGAAGACUCAAAAUGAGAGCACUAAGGCCACAGUAAACAAGUUAUCUGCAAUCUUUCCUCAGCUUGCUCACAGUAUUUGCUGUCGAAGCAGCGAACUUCCGUCCUCGGCUUUUGGGUGCUCCUGAUUUGCUGCUGCUUCGACUGCCGCUGAGCUGAAAAUCGAUUGAGCAGCCGCCGUUCCUCCGAAUUUGCGAAUUGCAAACAACUGCUUUCGUCGUCGAGAAGCGCUCUAAAGAGCAAGAGGAGAGAGGCCAUUUUCAUGCAAAGGUCCAUAUUUUCCUUUCACUGUGUUCGUAUGUUUUUAUAUCUGUCAAUCUCAAGUUAUUACUUGUACCUUAAUUUCUGGUAGAUCAUAUAAAACUGCUGUUGGGUCGCAUGUAAAGAUCGUGUGACCUGCUCGUUCAAAUAUUAAUUGCUCGGCUUCGUAACAAAAUAGAAACUAACCUCUUUUAAUCGGUCAAUGGUUGUUGAUCCACCUGUAUACUCGUCCGUUUAGGUGGAGUAUUAAAUUAAGUUAAUCUUAGUUAUGUUUGUGUAUUGUAAACUUUGGAAAGAAUAAGUACCUCAACUGUUCCUGGUACUCAAAAGUCUAAAAGACCGUUAUGCCCUUCUCUCAUCAUUCCUUUUCGCUUUUAUACCUGAAAUCCCAUUAUUAUCACGAAGAGAUGCUAAUCUUACAAUUAAGUCGUCCAGAUUUUUUCAAAUUUAAAUUCCCUUCCUCACCAGAUAAGCAAUUUUUUUUUAGAACAUGUUUAAACUAAAUUGCAAAAGAUCCAUACGUAUAUUUUAUAAGGCCCAUUAUGGAUCUGAAGCCCAGCCCAAUUCAAGGCCCAUUAGACCCCUCUCCCCCCGCGAGGCUACCACCAUCAUCAAGGCUCUAUGCGGACGCGGCGCCACCGCGCUCGCCCGCAAGGUGUUCGACGAAAUGCCCCACCGGGACGUGGUCGCCUGGACGGCCAUGAUCUCGGGCUACGCAUCCAACGGCCUGCACGACGAGGCGUGGGCGACGCUCCGCCGCAUGGCGGGCUCGGGCGCGGCGCCGAACGCGUUCACGCUCUCCGCACUGCUCGCGGCGUGCCGGGGCCCGGGGCGGCGCCGCGCCCGCGCUGCGGCGCACGCCUCCGCCGUGCGGCGCGGCCUCGGCGCCGCGCCGUACGUCGCCAACGCGCUCCUCGACGCGUACGCGUCCUGCGGCGACGGGGCCGUGGGCGACGCCCGGCGCUUGUUCGACGAAAUGGCCGAGAGAACGGCGGUGACGUGGACGGUUAUGAUUGCGGGGUAUGCCAGGUGGGGUAGGGCUGACGUGGCACUCGAGAUGUUCAGGAGAAUGGUCCUUGUGAGUAUAUUAUACGCGACAUGCAUUUACCAUACUAGAAAUAUGUUGGCCGGACCCGGUCUAUAGACCGGAAGAUAUGACUACGUUCUUCUUAGUGGGAGUGGCAAAUUGUGACCCGACCCGGUUCCCCAAUCAUGCCCGACUCGAAAAAUAUCCGGAUCUAGACCCGUAAUCCGCUUCGAAAAAUCAGGUGUUCUGAGUUCUAUAAUUCUUAUAGACUUAUAUAUAUACACCCCGAGUCGUUGAAUCCAACUCCUAAUAAUUGUUUAAAUAGACGUAUAUAUCUACGUUUGAAGCAAAUCUUACUACAAAUGUGUCAUCAAUUUUACAUUUUUAACAUGCAUAUGACAAUUCAAUCUUUUACAAAGCAGGACAGCGUCGAGCCGAGCCCGUUUGCUUAUUCCAUCGCAAUCAGCACGUGCGGCUCGAUCCGACACCCGACACUCGGUCGGCAGCUUCAUGCAGCCUCUGUUAAACAUGAUCUUAUUUCCAACACCCCCCUCUCCAACUCGUUGAUCGACAUGUACUGCAAAUGCACGAAAAUUCGCCAUGCAAAGUUGUUGUUCAACACCAUGCGUCGAAAAGACGUGAUCACUUGGAACACAAUGAUAGCCGGGCUCGACCGUCACUCUCCGCACGAAGCCCUUCAGCUGUUUCUCGAAAUGCGCGUGCAAAACAUGCGGCCGAAUUGCUUCACUUUCACUAGCGUCGCGUCUUCCUGCGCUAGUCUCGCAGUUUUACGAUGCGGGCGGCAAGUUCACUGCGCUGUGCUUCGGAGCGGGUUCGGAAAUAACCUGCAGGUAUGCAAUGCGCUUAUCGAUAUGUACGCCAAAUGUGGGAGCGUGGACGAGUCGAAAAAGGUGUUUGAUGAGAUGUCCCGUAGAGACCUACUAUCGUGGACAUCGAUGAUGAUCGGUUACGGGAACAACGGGUACGGCUACGAGGCAAUUCGACUGUUUGACGAGAUGGUAAAUGUGGGUAUCCAAUUGGACCAUGUUGUAUUUCUGGGUCUAAUCAGUGCUUGUAGCCAUUCUGGGUUAGUCGAAGAAGGAUGGGAGUACUUUAAUUUGAUGAAAACCGAGUAUCAUGUCGAGCCUAAUUUGGAGGUCUAUGGUUGUGCUGUAGAUCUGUUAGGACGUGCAGGGAGGAUCGAAGAAGCCUUUGAUUUAAUACAGAGAAUGCCGUUUGAACCCGGCGAAUCGAUUUGGGGGGCGCUUCUCGGAGCUUGUAAGAUGCAUAAGAAUGUAAUCUUGGGUAAAUUGGCGGCGAAAAAGAUAAUGGAGUUGAAGCCAAGAGGGGCGACGACUUAUGUUCUACUUUCGAAUAUUUAUGCUGCGGAGAGAGAAUGGGGUGAGUUUGCGAAGGCGCGGAAGGCGUUGAGAGGGACGAGUGAUAAAAAAGAGGCAGGGAUGAGUCGGAUUGAGGUUAGCGAUAAGUUGUGCAGCUUUGUAGCUGGUGAUAAUACUAGUUACUAUGUUGGUUUGUGCAGUGAUGUGUUGGAUAGUUUGGCUCGGCAUAUGGAUGAGAACUCGCAAUUGGAAUUUAUAAGCUGAUGGUGUUGCAUAGUGUUAAUUUAGAUAUAUAGCUCGGGAGCGCGGUGAAACUGUAUAUUGAUCUUAUUUUUCUGGACUUUGUAAAGGGCGACUUGCGUGAAUGCACAGUAUCAUCCAUCUUAGAUUGAUUUUGCGAAUAAAAUACGGGGUAGAGUUUAAGAAGAAGAUUCGGAAAUUGGUGUCUCAAGAAGAGGGUCUAUCAGUUUGCUCUUUGAGCUGGUACAUAGUGAAAAAGUUUUGGAACAACUCGGAGAAUAAGAAGUUCAACUAUCUGAUCCAAGUUGCUUUUAGCGAAAUCGCUCACCAGGUAUAGCUAAAUUAGUCAUUUUGCUUUUGCCAUUCUUUCCUUGCCGUUGAGACGUAACGUAACAAGGAUGUUUAUGGCUAUUAAUUUCAUGUUAAGAAUGUUAACUGGUUUUUUUUUUUUUUUUUUUCNUUUUUCGCCAUCUGGUAAUUUACGAAGAUAUACACUUAUCACAGAACAAAUACAUCAGCCUUGUUAUUGGCUUUACCACUUAGGAUGUACAUGCUAGAGAAGCAGACGAUGACGGCGCAAAUUGUCUUUUUACAAUUCAACUGUCCAACCUACACUUAUCUCAUGAGGAACAGAACUACAGAAGAGCCAAAAAGUCCAAGAUAUUUCUGAGGGGAGGGAAAACCACAGCCUCAGCUUUGUCUGAUGCCUUAUACUUGUGUUUGAUUCUUUCUCACUCCUCUCUAUCCUCUCCUUCUCAUUGAUUAAAACAAACAUGCUAAGCAAUUUAGCAUCGGCGUCUCCUCCCUCUCUCUUCUCAAAUUUCCUCCAUCGUCGGAAGCCCUGCUUUUCGCACUCUAAACCAUUGUGCAGCAGCCUCAGUAAGGAAAGAAGAAAAGGCACUAAAUUCAAAUGGCUCUCUAUCUCCUUUUCGCUUUUCGGGUCGGGGUUCUUCCUGGGCCCUCUUCUCGAUGGCCUGCAUUCGAGGGUCAAUCUCCAAGUGUACCGAAAUUGGGCCGUCGAUAUCGGCCCUCUUCGCACCAACAUCCUCGUACUGUUUCUUUCAAAUUUUCCCUCCAUAUAUAUUUUUUUCUUUAAUUGAAGUACAAUCUCUAUGGUUAUUAUUAGGUCCCUCUCCUCCUUGGGGCGUUUUACUGCACUAUCGGAUUGCUGCAGCUCUACUUGGAUGAAAAGGCCACUUCUAGUAAUGCAAAGCCUUCAGGGAGCUUGAACAAGGCGGCGAUAUCACUAAUGUGCGUAAUCUCAGUGGCACAAAAUCUUUCGGUAAAUACGUAUCGAGACGCCCUGAACUGUAGGCCAUUCUGAAAUAGACCGCUCAACUUUAUUUUCAAACAUUUGCUCGUUUCUGUUAAACGUAAUUGCGAUUCUGAUGAAUUGAAGAGCUUUACCGGCUUUAAAUCGAUCCAUUUUUCUCUCUAUUCUUUGCCGUCAGAGCCCUUGCAUUAUUCGUCGAACUGAGCGCUGAACUGUACAAAGCUGGAGUUCCGAGCAACGUUGAAGCCUACAUACUAUUUGCAGCAGCAGAAUUUUUGUGGCUAUUGCUGGAUGGAACAUGGCUAGGGUUUGCGCUCGCGUGCUUUGUCGGCAUUGCAUGCCCUAUUGCUGAGAUCCCAUUAAUGAAGUAAUUUGCCUAACAUUUUUUAAACUUCUGAUUAUUAGCUCAACAUUCUCUUUCAAAUCAUUUUUUGUUUUUCAGUUUUGGCCCACUUUUUUUCCUUUUCCAGUUAAACCUCUUAGGGGCAUUCCAUGCAAAGAUGUUUCAGCUAAAACCGAAAAAUGGCCGAAAAACGUGCCAACAUUUUUUUUAUUGAUUGCUGCUUCUGUAUCAUCAAAUAUUACAGGAUUUUUCACCUCUGGAAUUACCCAAAUGCUGAUAUCCAACUAUUUGGUGAGGUAAAACCCUCAUUUCUUUUCCCCCCCCUCAGUGGUUCUUCAAAUUGCUAAGCAAUGAGAAAUGUAUAAAUGGUAUUGUUUCCUCUUUUCGCAGGGGCUGAUCAGUUGGACAACUACCUGCUAUUUUGUUUACACUCCAUUUUUGAUCAAUUUGUCGCGUUGGCUCAAGUCGUCCUUCGCCGAUGAUAGCGAUCAAAUAGUUCAGUAGGCAUACAGCAGCAGCAGCAGCAGCAGCAGUUCCGAUGAAACAAUGGAUUUCUCAAAAAUGACGGUAUCGGAGAAGUGUCAUUUGAUUUUAUAUUAACACUCUCGUUCACGCCUUGGCUCAGAAUUUCUCAAUAAGCCCAAAUUGUUGACGUUGGGUCAAACUAGUUUUGGGUUUUCUUUUAACUACUAUUUAAACAACAGAACUGUUUACUGUUUGAUACAACAAACUCGAAACUUCUUGCUCUGAUCAUGUCUUGCGAAAGAUUUGAAUGUUCCAAUAACUUAAGCUAGCAGAGAAAGUAGUACCGUACCUGCUAUAGGACACGAAAGUGUACUCCGUAUUUAACUGAUGUACACGGAAACGAAUUAAAUACACAAUGUGAUCAGUUUAGCCUGAGGUGCUAGCUCAUUUAUGUGGCCAUAUAAGGUUACCUGUUUCAUUAUAGAAAUGAAGUAAUGCACAGCUCAAAGACAAUGAAUCUGGUUAUCAGCAAGAGUGACCAAAUAGAUACAUAUCUUCUUCAGUAGUAAUACUUUUUGGUACAAACUUACCGAAUUUAUUUGAACUAAGGACUAUUUUGAAUUGACUACUAAAUCUUUCAAACUUAGUUUUACUGUCUAAUUUUUUAAUUUAUUUGAUUUGAGUCGGCCAAUAAUAUUUUAAUUUUAAAAUCUGAAUGCGUUGUUUAUUUUUAUAGGUUUAGGUAGCAUACUUCAUGCAAUUGCUGCAAUUAUAGAUUAAUUAAGCUAAGUAGUAAUUAGCUUAUAUUUUGAAGUCAAAGUGUCGUUGGCCGGUUCAAAUCAAACAAAUUGAAAAAUUAGAUAAUAAAAUUAGAACUUUUAAAAAUUGGGCAGUCGAUUCAAAACGACCAUUAGUUCAUGUAAGCUAUGUACAUUUUUACAUAUUUUUUUUAGAGAGAAUGAUAGCAUGUUACUGCUUAGUUUAUUUUAAAAAAAAAUAAAUUUAACUAAAAAUAUAAAGUACGGGUACCAACCAACUAUAAAGUUUUUUAUCACUUGCGGUAGAGACGGUCGAUUUCUUUAGCCGUAACACUACUCUGGAUAAAUUACCACCCUAUGCAAUUUUCUCAGAAAUGGUAAAUGUACUAUAAUCCCUCUUGAGUUUAAAUUUGAAAUUUGUGAUAUAUAUAUAUAUAUAAAAACAAGAUGACAUAUUCUCUCACUUAAUGAAUGGCACAUCUUUUUGUCAGAUGGUAGUUGGCUCUUAUUUUAUUCUCUUGCACCAAAAAUGUAUACAAAACUCACCAAAUUCAAAAGCUUCAUUAAUAAGAACAUGCACUUCUCUUCCCUAACAUGGGAGCUACAGCACAAAAUAAAUGAUAGCAGUGCAGUAGCACAUUGUGAUUCUUCACCAUUUUGGGUAGCAAAAUUAUUAGUUACUAACCGACCGUCCCUGGCGUAAGCGACAAAGGACUUGGCAGUUGGUACUCGAGAUCCCAAGUUCGAAUUCUAAUUGAUUCACAUUUCCAGCUAAGUUUAUUUCUAAGUGAAAUAAACGAAACGGAUAACGUGCUAUCUAUUUUUUUUUUAAAAAAAUUUAUUAGUUACUAUUAUUGGCUAAAAAGCCCAAUAAUUGUUAAUCAGUAGUGUCACAUUAUUUCUUAGAGAUGAAUUAUUAGUUAUCUCGUGGCAGAAAAAUAAUAUGAUAAUUAAAAUAGCCACCACUUUACUAAUGUGUUUAAAAAAAUUACAUGGAGGUUAACAAAACAGUGAUUAAAAUAUAAAUCAAAGUUUAGUAUCUCAAUUAAAAUAAAUUAUAGUUUGAUGACCCAAAUUAAAGCCUAAAGGAGAGUUCUCUCCAAAAGUAAUAUGCCUCAUUUAAAAGAGUUCAAUUUGUUGCUCUUCUGAGGAUAUUAGCCACCUAAGAAAAGUGGGCUUUCUAUGUAUUUAGUAUGUUCAAAUUUUUUUUUUCACAAAUAACCUCAUAAAAUUUAUAAUUAUAAAAUUAGUCAUAUUCCUGCCACGUAAACGUCACGCGAGCAUGGCUGGAAGUCCAGAUUAAGUUGAACACGGUGAAUAAUUCACCGUGUUAGGACACAAAAUGAAUAAUUCACUAUGUUCAACUUAAACUUAUAUAACUUAAAUUUAUAUAUUGUAUAAGUUUAAGUUGAACACGGUAAACUAUUCAUGACGUCCAAACAACGGUGAAUGAGUGGUUCACAGUAUUCAACUUAUUCCAUACUCAUAUGACAUUUGCUUGGCGGAGAUAGGAUCAAUCUUGUAAAUAUAAAUUUUGUGAGGUUAUUUAUAUAAAUUUUUUUUUUUUAGUAGGCUAAAAUGCAGAAAAAAAAUCCCCCAAAAAAAAGUUCAUGGAAAUCAAGUUUUGUUCACUUGUGCAUCAAUCUUUGUUAGAAAGCAAAAAUGCAUCAAACUUUUCCAUCAUUCAAACUUAAUUACACCUUUGCACUCUAUCAAGUCCAUCGUAUCAAUUCCAUAGCUUUGUUAUUGUACUUUUAAGUUUUGGUAAAAAAGUAUAAAAUUUAUCCAAAUUAUAGUCCAUUUUUAUUUUAGUACUCAAAUCUUUCAAAAUUUGAUUUUAGAGGUUAGAAUUUUAAUUGGUUUGAUUUAAAUAAUUUGAAGAUUCUUCGGAUAUAAAAUUUAAGCUAAUUAAUUAUUUUAAUAAAUUUAUAGUUACACAGAUUGAAUAAAAUAUACUAAUUAAAUACGUAAAGAUACUAAAGCUUAAAUUAAAUAAACUAAAAGAUUAAAUAGUAAACUCAAAAUUUUUAAAAUUUAGACAGUUAAUUAAAUUUGAAUGAAUAAUAGUCAAGUUUUAUACAUUUUAUCCGAGACCGCACGCAUGCAUUUGAGUUCGUGCACCUAACUUAUGCCUCUCGGGUCCGACUAUUCAGAAUGCACUAACCAUAUGAGCACAUAUAUCGCGUCUAAAACCUGCUUCGUUCGGGUCCAGUUAUUUUGAGUGCACCAAAGAGUGUAGGAUCAUCAAAUCAUCAUCGGCUCUGAUAUCACUUGUUAGGAAGAUCUAAACCCAGGCCGAGCCCACGCGAGGCCGAGGGAGGAUGUGUUAUAUUUAAUAAAAAAAGUUUAAGCCUAUUAAUUAGGUCCGGACUGACUAGUCUAUAUAUAUCAACCAACUACUUUUUUAUGAAAUAGCUAAUAUGGUACAAUUCAUAUAUAAAUUCUUAACAGGAAAAACUGAACUACUAGCCAGCUACCACAUUAUAUGCACGCUCGUGCGCACGUGCACACACGCAUAUAUACAUAGAGAGAGAGAGUCUAACUAUACUGUUUUUAAAAACACCGAGCAUUUGGCGUUUAUAAGUUUUUUAUAGUUAGAUUUAUUACUUUGAUCAUUUUUAUCUGUUAGAUCAUAUUAUUCAACCAACCAUUCAUUCAAUUUUAUGGAGGCGCACAUCUCUUAAUAUAAGGUCUAAAAUAAUUUGUUUUUUUUUUUUUUUGAGAAAAAGAUAGCAAGCUACUUGCUUCAUUCAUUAAGUAAAAUGAACUGAGCGUACAUGAUGGAAGCAGCUAAGGCCUCUGAAGAAAGGCGAGGAAAGAGAUCGAAAAAGGUGCAAAAAGAUUACAAAAGCAAGAGUGGUGUCGGGAAGAUGGAAGUGUAAGUUGGAGAGCUAGCAAAUUGUUAUCGCAGCACGUUCCAGUCGCUCAUCAGAAGGUUGACCCGUUCAAGUGCCCGGCUGGCAUUGGCCGGUAUUGCCCGGAAUAUAGAGUUGUUUCUGUCCGUCCAAUAAUUUGGUAUUUUUAAAAGUAUAGAAAUCAAUUCUAUAUAUGUAUGUACACAGAGAGAGAGAGAGAGAGAGAGAGGGGCCAAAGUGGCCAAAGUGUAAUUAAUGUUAAUGAAUGACUACAGUACUAGCUCUCCAGCGCAAUUUAUUGAAGGGCUCCUUAAUAAAACCUCAUUGAGACAGUUUAUACGUAAAUCUUAUAAUUUGAAGGGCUCCUUAAUGAGAUCUCAUUAAGACAGUUUAUUCGUAAAUCAUAUAAUAAUUUACUCUGCGUCCAAAUCCUAAUAAGGUCUUAUUCCAAUUGAAAACCUAUUAGCUUUUUUUCCCCUCUUUUUUUUUCUUUUGUGUGUGUCCGGCGGGGGAUUGAGUUUUUUCUUUUUUUUUAGAAAAAGGUAACACACUAUCUGUUUUAUUCAUUGAAUUUAUGAAUUAGGCUAUAUGGAUGAGGCAACGGUAGUCUCGGGUGGGAGUGGAAAAAAAAAAAAAACACUCCCUACAUCAGAGCCUCCGAUUAGCCCGAAGUAAAAAUUCCUAAAGGUUCAGAAGUUACUUAAUCCUCCUAAAUACAAGAAGGGGAUCCGGUCGAGCCUUUCUAAAGAUCACGUCGUUUCUAGUCCCCCAAAUAAUUCACUAACAUUGCGACCAAUCCGGUUAACUUCGGGCUCGUCGCUUGCAGUCCGGUCCCAGCGGACCAAUAAUGGGUGUUAAUGGGGCGGAUCAGAUAAGCAGUGCCGUGGACCAGAAUCCGCUAAGCCCAUUAAAUCAACUUGGGAUUCUAAUUGUGCAUAUAUUAAUACAUAUAUAUCUGGGCCCAAUGCAGUACAAACUGGGUCGUGACUCGAAAUCAGAUUAGGUGGAAACAACAUUAAAUGCAUUGUCCCCCCUGAUAAUUAUGCCACGUCACUGUUAUGCCAUAAAUUCUAUUCUUUUACACCCUCCUCUUUGUGAAAAAUUCUAGAAUGCAACGGGUAUAUUAGUGACGUGGCGUAACAAAUCAAUCAAAUUAAUUUUUUUAAAAAUAUAUGUUCCAUCAUGAUUAUAAAAAAAUAUUUUUAUUGUACUUUUGUUUGAAAAGAAGGAAUGUGAUUGGCUUGUUAUUGAUGACGUGGUGGUGCAAGUGUGACAGUGUAGAAUUCCUCCCUCUUUGGCAACAGGCCAACAACUAACUUAAACAAAAGGACUUUUUCUUUUUUUCUUUUUUUCUUUUUUUUACAUUUAGCCCUUUAAUAUUUUUUUUUUUUACAAAUAAUCUUAAUAAAUUUAUAAUUGUAUAAAAAUAUAAAGUAUACUAACUAAAUCUUUAAUCAUAAAAAAUGACGCAUUCCAAGUUUCAAGUCAACAUGCCCUCAACGAACUCAAAUCAACAAACUGAAAAAUUAAAUAGUAAAAUCAAAUUUUUAAAAAAUGGAGUAGCUAAUUCAAAAAGAUUUGUGGCUCAGAUAGUUCCAAUACCUUCUUAUCUAACUUUCACCUGUUCUGAUAAUAUUUAAAACAAAUACAAAUCUCGUCUUAGGACCGUACCCGACUAAAAUAAACAUGAAUCCACUCUGAUGGGAUUUUUGUUCUAUUACGACUAGGCUAUCAUAUUGAUCUCUGAGUCUCAUUUCAUAACCAUGUCUCACUAGAAACAAGAAUUUUAAAUAACUUUAUACUAAUGACAAAUUUAAGAUUACAUGGGAAAGAAAAGCACAUUAGUUGCUCUGUGGAGGGAUCUGAAUUCCAGAAAGAAAUAUACAACUACGACGGCGCCGAGGUAGACCAUGUAGAGCCGGCCAAAUAUCCGAAUUGGAACUGCGGACGAGACCAGAAUUACCACUUCUUGAGUUCCAUACCUUCAGGUGGNAUAUAUGUAAAUAUAAAUUUGUUAGAAUUAUUUGUAAAAAAUUUUUUGUGAGGGCGCUAAAUGUAAAAUAAUCCCAAACAAAAAUAUAGAAAUUUGUUUUUUUUUUUUUUUGAGAGAGAUAGAUAGUACGCUACAUUUUUCGUUUAUUUCAUUAAAAAUAAAUUUAGCUAGAAAUGUAAAUCAAUUAGGAUUUGAACUUGGGAUCUCGGAUACCAACAAUCAAACCUUUUGCCACUUACUUUAGAGAGUAGGAAAUAAUAUUAUUGUUGUCAUUUAGUACAAAGAGUGUGCGGUUCCUCCAAAAAGUAUGACAAUUUAUUAAUUUUUUUAAAAAAAUUAUGAAAACACAUUAUACUUUGAAUAAAAAAAAAUCUAGAAAAAAAUUACUUUUUUGAAAUUUACAAAAAAAAAAAAAGUGUUUUAGGAAUAUUUUUUUUUUCUAGCGACCAAAUGGGCAGAAACUUUUUUUUUUUUCAGCUAAAAAAUUAUUCCGUGACACUUUUUGAAAAAGAAAGUAGUUUUCCUAUGCACGAGUCUACAAAAAAAAAAAAGAAGCGAUUCUUUUAAUCGAUUCAUGCACACAAUAUUACAUUUGAAAAAUCUUGUUUUUGUUUAUUUCGUUAUAAUUAAAUGACGAUUCCAUUAGCGAUAUCAAAAUUGAUAAAUAUUUUUUAAUACAAGUGAUAUUAAAUUUGAAAAAUGGCUCUUUUUUUUAAUAUAUAUUUUUACUAUUAGAUGAGAGUUUAAAUCAUGUUCUUGUAUACAUACUCUCCGAUGCUCCCCCACGGCCCCACAUUAUAUUGCUAAAGUAAUUAAUGGAAACAGUGCAUGCACAUGACAUGGCCAGCAAAAUUUCAGUGUAUGUCCAUGACUGGAUAAAUGUUACCUUUACUAUUCCUAUAUUGCAAUUUGGUUCAAGUUAUUUCAAUUAGAAUAUUUUAGUUUCUAAACUCUCGUAUGUGUUGAGCUGAAAUACUAUCAGUAGCAAACGAAUUUCGUUGCCACCCAUUUAUUUUCGAUAAUGAAGCUUCCAAAUCGACGAUCGGCACCGUUGAACAUGAUCUAUACUACCUGAAGCAUCAAGAAACUAAAUUUCAUGUUUUUUUUUUUUAUAUAGUUUUCUUAUCCAUCGAGUAGAUGCAAAAAUGAACGGUUGAAAAUAAAUAUUCUUUAAAAAGUGAUGAUAGGAGUUUAUAAUCAAGAUCAAGAGUAUAGAUCUUAUUGUAAAUAGUUUUAAAAAAUUUCUAAUUAAAAUUUAAUUGAUUUGGAUAUCUUUACGCCGUUAAACGAGAAAACGUCUCAUAUUGGCCGUUAAAAUUAUAGAUUUUGAAACCCUUUGAUCAUUAGUCUAAUGAUGUUGAAAAGAUUUGAAAUUUGAUUUCUAGAUACUUAAAGUGGUAUAGAUCAUGUUCGAUGAUACCGAUCGUCGAUUUGGAGGCUCCGUCAUCGAAAACAAAUCGAUGGCAUCAGAGCCUUUUGGUCCUGAUAGCAUUUUAGCUCAACUCCUCUUAUUUAUUCUGUGCGCUAGUCCCUCACUACCUAAAAAAAUAAAAGUUAAAUAAUAAAACAUUCAAAUAGUCCCUAUAAUUUUAAUUUAAACACUCAUUAGUUUAUGAUCCAGCACUAGUUUCUGAUCUUAAAUUAGGUUUUUUUUUUUUACACUAAUAAAGGAUAAAUUACUACAUGCAAAAAAAAAAGAAAGGAAAACUUCAAAUACCCCUUCUGUGGUUUGGCACUUUUUCACUUUAGUACCCUGUGGUUUCAAGUGUAUCAAGUUAGUACUAUGUGGUUUCGCAUUUUCUCACUUUAGUACCCUAUGGUUUCAAGUAUAUCAAGUUAGUACCCUGUGGUUUCAAUUUUCUCUUUUUAUUAUCCAUUUCGGGUUAUAUAAUUUAACGAAAUAUUAAACCACAGGAUACUAAAGUAAGAAAAUACGAAACCACAUAGUACUAAUUUGAUACACUUGAAACCAUAGGGUACUAAAAUGAGAAGGUGCGAAAUCAUAUGAUACUAACUUGAUAAACUUUAAAUCACAGGAUAUUAAAAUGAGAAAGUACGAAACCGCGAGGGGAGGUAUUUGAAGUUUUUUCUAAAAAAAAUAGAGAUCAAGUUGCAAUAUUAAAAUAGUGCAGGAACUACCAAGUACCAACACACCAAUGAAUGAACACAUGCAUCACCCUGGAGGGUAGGGCAUGUUGUAUGGUUUUUAUGGCUAGCUAGCCACCAAAUUGGCCACUGGCAAAGUCUGAUCUGAUUCAUGCUGAUCUCCCCCACCCCAACCUCCUUAAAUUCUACAAUGAAAUCUACCAACCCUAAAGCCCAUGUGUAUUUAAUAUUUUAUUAUUAUUAUUAUUAUUAUUAUUAUUAUUAUUAUUGCAGGAAUCUUAAUUAGCAUUCACUACAUGCCAUGCACAAUAACAAUCCCUUUGAAAUGAAAGGAACUUAUUAUUAUUAUUAUUAUUGUUAUUAUUAUUAUUUUUGCUUCUCAAUAAAUGAUGAAGGAAUUAUUGUCUUGGAAGAAUUGGCUAACUCGUUUAAUAUGGAAAUUGAUAUUGUCAGAGCAGAGAUAUUAUUUUUAAUCACAAUUUAAACAUGUUUGCUCUAGAAAUUAUUGAAAUUGUUUUGAUGAUAUCAAUUUUUUAUUUAAUUUAUAUCUCAACUUGUACUUAUUACUAAAAUAAGUAAUUCUUACUUAUAUCCGAACCAAACGCAGCUAUAACGAAUUACAAGUAUAUUCCUACAAACUUCAACUUUUAACUCUUAUUCAUGUAAAAGUUGAGUGAUAUUCAUAUUUGUUUAUCUGGUUUGUUAUCGUUAGAAAACUGUUUAUUUUUUAACAGCAGAUUAGUGAAAUAUUAAUUUAAUUUGUCAUUAUAAAUAUGUCCAUCCAAAAGCUCCAACUGCUAUAAUCGUGCAGAAAUGUCUCCCCAAAAAUUUUUCAAUGGUCAUCUUCUUCCUCAUCUUCUUUUUCUUUAAAAUCCAAUCCAAUUCACCAUUGUUGCAACCCUUUCUCUCUCUCAUUUUCUCCUAAAUUUUUUUUUGAGCAAAAUAAUAAAAGGUUAUAGAAAAUAUUGAAUGGAAAAGCAACAUAGUUCGUCGUAGGCGAAGCAACACGCGUCAUAGAUGAAUAGGGACAGAGAAUUCUAAUUAUGGAUUCGAAAUUAGUAUGAAGGAGAGAGAGGAAGAGAAAGAGGAAGAAGUUCUUAUUGUUAGGGUCUCGAUUAAGAGAAGAAGGUAUAAUAUAAGAGGGGUAAACAUAUUAAUUUAUCUCAUUAACUAAUCAGGAUUAAGUAAUUUACCUAUGAUUACCCAAUUUUUCUAAUGGAUCCCAACGGCAGUGGCAUAUUCGAAAACUCAGAACUUUUGUAAAAAUAACAUAAAAAAGUUAAACUUUAUAAAAAUAUAUUUACAACUCAUUAUAUUUGCAAUAAGCUGUAUGCAAUUAACCUUUCCUCAAUAGCUGUUAGUUAGACAAAUUAAAUUUAAGUGACCGUUAAAUAUUUCUAAACAUUCAAAGGAAAGGAAAAAAUCUGAAAUCUUAAGAGCCACAUAAUAGUCACGUCCUCAUGGUAAUUCUAUUAAUAGAUCAAAAAUAAGUUGGAGUUGUCGAUUAAAAGUAGAGUCGUGCUAUGUUUUUCGAUUCGAUUGAGCAAGCCGAAUAGACUCGCUGAAUCGGAGAUCGCAUUGAUUAGGGAGGGGGUGUCGGGAUGUACGUCGUUUGGUCCUAAACCGAAAGCCAAGCCAAACCAAACCAAACCAAAUAAGACUAUUUGGAUCGAUUUAUAUAGUUUACGGCUUGAUUUAAUUUUGAAAUUUACUAAAAUUUGAUCUUUUAUUUCGGUUUUGGUUCGGUCUGAACAUGUUUUUUAACCAAACCGAAUAGUAAUAUUUUUUUCACGCAUUGUGCCUAAGCUGUUUAUUAAAAUUUUAUAUUUAUAAAUUAUAAUGAUUCAAGUUUUGAUCUUAAAUUAUAAAUUAAUUUAUAAAAAAUACAAAAUCUAGAAAUUAAUUACAAAACCGAACCAAACCGGAUCGGUUUUGAGUAUAAAUCGGUUUACUUUGGUUCUAACAAAACAUACGGUUCAAUCUAGAAUCUGCCUCAAAACUAAACCAACCAGAGAGUCGAUUAACCGACCGUCCCUAGAGCAAGUGGCAAAGGGCUUGAUGGUUGGUAUUCGAGAUCCAAGUUCGAAUCCUAGUUGAUUCACAUUUCUUGCUAAGUUUAUUUCUAAAUAAAAUAAACGAAGCAUGUAGCGUGCUACCUAUCUCUCAAAAAAAAAAAAAAAAAAAACUAAGAAAGUCGAUUACAACCUCUAAGAGAGGCAAACCUUGUUGUAUAAGCCCCUUUAAGUCUAGGAUGCAAACGGAAUUCUGGUUGUGGAGUUCCCAUCCGAUCCGCUCCGAAUGGAUAUGCAAAUGAGAACAAAUUAUAAAAAAAAUAUUAUCCGCAAUGGAAUUCAUCCUGAUCCGCGAAGUAAAUGGAGCCGAAGGCAGGACGAACUUUUUUUUUUUUUUUUGGAUCCGUUCCUCGAUCUGCUAAAUAUUCGUCAAAAAUUCGCUCUAGUCCUAAUCUAUCCCAAAUAAAGCAGUAAGUAAAAACAAAGAAUUAAAAUUAAUCUACUCUGAUCCUAUAAAAAAACAGAGUGUUAGCCCAAAAAUCCCUCCCGCCUCCGGAUCUGCCCGUCUGCAUCUUACUUCCAUCCACGUUGUAUGGUAUUAUUGUUAAGUUACAUAGUAUUAUUUUAAGCUCAUUAAAGUUUGAAUAGUGAAAUGCAAUCAUGCUAUAAUAUAGACAUAAAUAAAUUAUUAUAUAAUAUUUCUUGGGACCAGAAUCAAUACUCUCUCCACCUACUCCACUCUAGGAUAUUACGAAUUUUGGCUUUUCUUAAAUGAGUAUUAAUUUUCAUGCAAUUGAUAAGACAUUAGAUUUUUUUGUUUUACUAGGUGCUCUAAUUGAGAUAGUGAUCCAAAUUUUUAUUGUGAAAAAAGCAUGUUCUUUUUUAACGAAUUCAAUCUAAAUUGUUUAAAUUCUCUUCAAUUCCGAUGAAAGAUUUUUAAGUAUAUCCUUUUUAUCAAGCAAAUAGCAUGUGAUGCACCCAAGAUGGCACGAAACAUGCUUCAUUUCUAGAUUCUAACAUCCUCUCUUUUGAUGAAUUUGUGGUUCUAUGGCUGUGAUUAAUAGUACAGUAUGAAAUCCAAACAUUUUACCAUCACACUGUUGAUUUAAAAGGGUCAGUAUCUUGUCCUGUCGCAGAAGAUUAGGUUGGACUGAGCCACGUUCAAAAUGACAGAAGGUCUGAUUGGGUCGAAGCUAAAGCUGUCCAAAAUAUGCAAUAUACCAUACCUAAUCCAAACCCUACCUGGACCUUAUCUGGACCAGAAUCGGAUCCAAUAAAAAAUAAAUAGUAUACGGGUAAAAAAAAUUACCCAUUAAAAUUUCGGUUAUGAGAUCGGAUAUUUUAUACCAUACCCGAUUUGGACCCGACCCGAACCCAACUUUUAAAUGGGUAAGGUCUGGAAUAGUUUUCAAAUUUGGACUCGGACUCGAACGAUGAAAUAUCCGAUAGUAAAUAAAAUUUUUUUAAAAAAACUUUUGAAGUUGAGAGAUCAAUUUUAAUAGGAUUUAUAUAUGAGGGGUCUCUAAGUAUUUUCAUCCUACUUAAACACUGAAACCCUAACCUUUCUUUUAUUUUUUUCUUUUUUCUAAUUUUUUUACUCUUUGUUUUUUACUUUUAAAUUUUUUUGUUUCAUUUCUACCUAAGAAUUUUUUAUGAAAUAAUAUUUCCAUCGUCAUCAUCAUCAGCGAUAUUAAUCCUCUACAGAUGUGGCACGAGUGAGUUUUUUCCAAAUCCUUUUUCCAUCAUAGUCGACAAUCUAAUUUUUUUAAAUAAAUAUUCUAUUUAGUAAAUUUUCUGACUCUUCUUUAUUUUUUUCUCUUUUUUUUGAAUGUGAGCAUAUAAUAUUAGUAAUUACUACAACUUAUGUUCUCUUUAUCUAUAAUAUGAUAUCAUAAUUUUUUUAUUUUUGUGUGUUUACAUAUAAAAUUAUUUUAAAUUUUAGACUUUUAAUCAGACAAUAUAAAGGCCAAAACAAGCUCUACCCAGACAAUUUAAUAAAGCCUAUAAAAAAGUUUAUGUAUGCGGAUACCCAUACCCAAUUUGGAUCCGACUCGUAUCCGGUCUUGAACGGAUAACAUACGGAUAGUCACUAUCCAGACCUGCUCAAAUAGAUCCGAUUGAUAUAUUAACAACUUAAGUACCCAGAUCCGGACCCAACCUAAAGUUAAAUGGGUAGGGUAUAUUUUUUUUUCUAACCAUUAUUUUUAGGGUACGGGUACAGUAUAUUGAUUAUCCAAAUCCGAUCCAGUCUACAGACACCUUUAGUCCAAUCAUCUUCGAAGUAGCGUAAGACUGGUUACACUGAGUUACAAUUAAAAUCCAUGAGCGCUGUGUCGUUAUACUUUAAGCGAAUUGGUCGUCAGCCAUUCGAGUUUUUAGAAUUAAUAGACAGGUCCAACGAUCCGGCAUAUACUCCCUCACAUAUUAUAACUAGUUGGUGCAUACCAUCCUCUUUUAAUUCAAGUAUUAGCAAAAAUUUUGAGAAAAAGAGGGUGAUCUCUUCUAUGAUCAGCUUAUGUACAUAAAAAUGGGGGAAUGGAUGAGAAUGCAUUUAAUCCUUCUUCAUUCACCCAACCAACUUAUCACCCUGCAGCAAACUAUUACAGGCUGUUCCUUUUUUGUUUUUUUUGUUUUUUUGUUUUUUUUUUGGAUAGAAGGAGGGCAAUAUUUUGUUUUUUUCUCCAUAGAAGAAAUAGGAGGACAACAAAUUAAAUUAAUUACAUUCCAUUUUUGAAAUGAGCCUCUCAUUCAUUUUUAUCCACUCCUCCUCAAUUUUUAAUUUUCGGGAGUUAAGAGAUUUUAUUCAGUUAUUAGAUUUUUUUAUCAUCUUUUUCUUUGUACUUGGAUUAAAAUUAAUAAAUUUAAUUAGCCAUAUAUUGAUAUUAAUAAAAAAGAAUAACUUAAUUUUUUAAAAAAAUCAGAAAGAAGGAAAGAGGGUGUAAAAAAAUAAAUAAAUAAAAGAUGAAAAGACUAAUUCAAAAUAGCCUAUUCUUAUACUCUCACCCAACUUGUUGUUCAAAUAAGCAAAUAAGGCAAACAACCCUCAUACUAUUCUUCACUAAAUUUGUGGUCACAUUUAUUAUCAUUAUUAUUGGAGUCACUAUCAUCUACAAGUUUUUCCUCCUAUUGCACACUUUUUAAAGUGUAUCUUGAAUUUAAUAGUAAGUUGACCAUAACAUAGGUAGUUGUUUACUAGUAUAUUGGUUUUAUAGAUCGAACAUCCUUGAAACAGAAAUGAAAGGUAACUCAAAGACUAAUGUUCCUUAAUUUCAAAGUAAUAUUUCUAAUUAUUUUCACUAUAGGUGUAAACGGGAGUCAUAAGUUACAGUUGGAGCUGUACUACAGUUUGAAAAUGCGGCCUCGGUGUGACUUCAAACUACUCGCUUAUUUAAAGCAAGAAUUUAGGUGCCAUGAUAGAGUCAAAAAUUUAUCAGCACGACACGACACGAUGAGUGCCGAACCGUCCGAUACAUUAUCCAGAAGAUCAAUUCUGAUAAUAAAUAACACAAAAUAUAUUUGACGUUUUUCGCUCACAUGCAUAAUGAAUAUGAACAGUUGGUAAGGCGAGUGAUUACAUCACAUGCUCAUGCUUUUCCUCUAUCCUAGUGGGCAUCAUUUUGGAGCCUGAACUGAACCCUGCACAAAUUUGUUCCUUGUUUUGGGAAUUGGGACCCCCCCAAAUGAAAGCAUCUAAACUGAUUUUGGCGCCACAUUUCAUAUGUUUAGACUACAGCCCCUUGUAUCUCUCUCUCUUUCUCUCUCUCUCUCCAUUAAAUGUGAGAAGAGGUGCUCUUUCAACUGCUUAACCACUUCAUUACUGCAGGAGCAAGUCCUUCUCUAGAUCUCUCUUCUCUCUCUCUCUCUCCCAUUUGCACUACAAAAUCCAUGGAAAGCUCAUCCUUUUGAUGUGUACUUGCUCCUUCCUCUUUAACACCCUCUCUCUCUCUCUCUCUCUCUCUCUCUCUCUCUCUCUCUCAGCUUUGGAGAAAAUAGAUUAAAAAAAAAAAAUGAGUUGUUGGGUAUCUUAGAACAAAUUUUCCUCUCCUUGCUUUGCUUGGUUCGAUUGCUUUUCCUUUGAUUAUACCUAAAUUUGAAGAAUUUUCAUUUGGGUUUUACUCUAAUUCUUUCAAUUGGGAAAUUUUUUGAACAAAUGCACUUUGUGAAGAGAAGAAGUACCAAAUUUCGAAUGCGAAAUUUGUUUACUCUAUUGUCCCGAUCUUUUUUUCUUUUUUUUUUCCCUAGGGUUUUGUUUUGUUUUUUUAAGAAAAAGGUAACACGCUAUCUGUUUCAUUCGUUCAGAUAAUAAAUUUAGCUAAAUUCAUUUUCUAGGGUUUUGUUGGAUAGAGAAUGAGGAAGGUUUACACAGUUCAAGUGGAGAGCGGAAGGGCCGGGAAGGACGGGCGGCCGUCGGUCGGCCCGGUCUACCGGAGCGCUCUGGCGAAGGACGGUUUUCCUCCGCCGGAUCCCCGAAUGAGCACCUCAUGGGAUAUCUUCAGGUAUUGAUGGCAAACUUAUUAGAAAAAAGGAGAAAUGAAUUUAUUGUUAUAAGAACAAAACCAUGAUUUUUAAUCUUUAAUGUGUUUAGUCAUCUCCUUUUAGUUAGCUGUAAUGUUCUUCUUAAACUAUCUUGCUUAAGAAACUCAAUGCCCUUCGCAAAACUCGAUAAUAUGUGUUGAUAUGUGAAAUUCUUAUACUGCAGUGUGGCAGCAGAGAAGUAUCCGAACAAUAGAAUGCUCGGAUGGCGCGAGUUCGUGAAAGGAAAGGUAUGCAACUUAUGCGUCUUCUGGUAUUUCAUAAAGUAUCAAUUUUUUUUAAAAAAAUUUAUAGAUCAUUUAGAUCCUCGAGUAAUUCUUUGUUUUUGUUUUUUUUGUUUUGCCAAUGUAUAUGAUCAAAUAGCCAGGAUGCUAUAUAUGGAAAACAUACAAGGAAGUCUAUGAGGAAGUGGUUCAAGUUGGUUCCGCUCUGCGGCAGAUGGGCGCUGCACCUGUCAGAAAACCGACUUUCAUUUGAUAUUUUUCUGCUCCUUUCUUAAUUGUUGUGAUCUCACCUGUUCAUUCUGUCAGCUGCAUUCGGAAUUUCGCUGAAAUUAGCAGCUUAUCCCCCCUUUUCAGCUGACGAAAUUGCGUAUUCAGUUAACAUCGCCAUUAGCUUUUACCGAAUCUCCUAUUCAUUUGACAGAAUAACUAAUUACUAGGGCUGUCAAUCAGAAAAAGAUUUUAAGUUGUGAGUUUAUUUCGAAAUAUGGAAUAUAGUUGACGAAGGCCUAUAGAUAUUUCGUUUUCAGGUGGUAGUAUCUAAUGUUCAUAUGCCCCUGUUAUACUGAUGUUACAUUAAUCGGUUACAGGGUUCACGCAUAGGGAUCUACGGAGCAAAUUGCCCUCAAUGGAUAGAAGCAAUGGAGGUAACUCUAGAUCUGUAUCUAGUUUAGCAUUUCGAUGGUUUUAGACCGCAUUUAUCUUAUUUAUUGAUCAAGACCAUGUAGAAACGCUUUUAAAUUAGUAAACUCUCUCAUCUGCAGGCUUGCAAUGGAUACAGCUUAAUAUGCGUUCCGCUCUACGAUACUUUGGGUAAAUGAAUUUAUUCCAAUUCCUUCUUUUGUUGUUUUAAGUUCUUGCAUUGAAGAUACUUUAUCUUCUUUCCACAUGCAUUUCCAAAAGGGUUUGAGCAUACAUGUGAUGAUUUUUGUUACUAUACACUGUCGACCACAAAGCAAAUUUUCUGGUAACAGGGUCAGGGGCUGUUGAUUACAUUUUAGACCAAGCGGAAAUCGACAUUGCUUUUGUUCAGGAUAAGAAAAUGAAAGAAGUGAGAACCAAGUUAUUUUUCUGAGUCUCUCGUUCGCAAAAUGGUUGUUUUCAACACGAAACUGAAUACUCAAUUUUGCAGUUACUGUUCUCCGACUGUGCAUCUCUUCGGAGGCUGAAAGGUAAGAAGCGAUCGAUAUUCGUAUCUUGAUCAAGCUUUUGAAGGAAAAAUAAUCAUAGUGCUUAUUUAUUGAACAUGAUUGCAGUAAUCGUUUCAUUCACUUCGACUACAAUGGAACAAGAGGAAGCUGCAUCUAAAAUCGGAUUGCAAAUUUACUCAUGGAACGAUUUUCUUCGAAUGGUCAGUUUCUAGUUACUUAAUUCUCAAAUUGUGGAGUAUCUUACGCGAACUCUUCUAUUCCAGUGUCCCUUCGCACUGAUUCUACGAUGCUCCCUUAGUCGAAGCUAUUGUUUUGUACCGUUAAUACAGGGAAAGGAGAAUUUGUGCGAGCCUCUUCCUCCUCGACCUCUUGAUAUAUGCACAAUAAUGUACACAAGUGGAACCAGCGGAAACCCCAAGGGUGUGAUUUUGACCCAUGAGAGCAACGCAAUGUAUGUGAGAGGAGUAGAUCUCUAUAUGGACCUGUUUGACGACAAGGUAAAUCUAUUUUUUUGAUCAUUCGCAGUUACUAGAUAAUAUAUUUUCGGCAAUUCUUUGUGUUCUAUCCAUAUUGUGUCAUAAUUAGUCCCCGAAUUUUCGAGGAUCAGUGAUCAAAUUGUGGUAUACGAUAAAGUUCAGAGACAAACUUGCAAUAUCGGGAUAGUACAGUCGACAACUUCGACCAUUAUUUCUCUCUUCCUUUUAUGUAUUCAUAAGCAUGUAUAUGUGUUUUGUAUGUACGCAUGUAUGUAUGCAUGUACGUAUUUGUCGAUAAGAGGUUGAGAAGUUAUGACACAUUGUUGUUAUCAGAUGACAGUGGAUGAUGUCUACCUCUCCUUUCUCCCCCUCGCUCACAUUCUCGAUCGCAUGCUCGAAGAGUACUUUUUCCAUAAAGGGGCCUCUGUUGGGUACUAUCACGGAGUAUGUACAUCGUCUUUGCGUUACUUUCAUAAAUACAAAGUUUUUCAACUAAUUCUCCAUAUCUUAAAUAAUUUGCUAUAUUCUAUUACAUUUCCGCCAAAAAUCUACACUGAACCCUAUUUUUUUGUUGUAUUAAGGAUAUUAAUGCUUUGAGGGAUGAUCUCAUGGAAUUAAAGCCAACUCUAUUUGCCGGAGUCCCUCGAGUUUUCGAAAGAGUCCAUGAAGGUUUAUAUUGCUUCUUUAUAUAUCGAACAUUAUCAACCAUAUUAUUGCAACUCAGAAUUAUUUGUAUAUUUUGAUUUCUAGGUAUAUUAAAGGCUCUAUCGGAACUCUGGCCGCAUAGAAGGAUGAUAUUUAAUGCUCUGUACAAACAGUAAGUUGUUCUUUCUCUUCAUUUCUUACUAAAAUACAUCAAGUGCAUCGAUUUUAUUUUUAUCUGACAAUUGAAAUUUCAGUAAAUUAUCAUGGAUGAGAUCAGGAUAUUCACAUAAAACAGCAUCCCCUCUCGCCGACUUCUUGGCCUUUAGUAAGGUCUUAUCUUCUCUAUACCAAACAUGAAAGUUUUUAUUUUUUAUUUUUUUGCAAUAUUAUCUGUUAAAAAUAUUUUUCAUAAUUAUCUAAAUUGUCGGAAUUUUUCCUUUUUUUUUUCAAUUUAGAUCAAGGCUAGGCUUGGGGGCCGAGUUCGCCUAAUUAUAUCUGGGGGCGCUCCGCUGAAUACUGAGAUUGAGGAGUUCUUGAGAGUCACAAGCUGUGCUUAUGUUACUCAAGGAUAUGGUAAUUUACACAAAGCUGGUUUCUGAAGUUUUUCGACUAGCAUUCGUGUAAUCCUUUAUUACUACUAAGAAAUAUAUAUGCCCUUGUACUUAUUUCUAACUAGGUAAAUAGUUAUGGCCUUCUAAGUACGCGGUUUUGUGAUGCUUUGAUUAAUUAAUUCCUUAUAUGAUUCAAAUUUAUGUUCCAUCGGUCGUUUUAACAAAUAAUUUCUUCAUCAUUCACCAUCUUUAAGUCCUUUUUUAUCUUGAUUCUUUUGAAUUGGUAAUGAAAACAUUUGAUGGUGAAAUUCUUUCACUCGUAACUCACAUUAAUAUAAUAAGAAUGAACUCCUUGAGAAUCUAUCAAAUAUGACAGAUUUAGGAUUAAAUUUUGAUUGCUGAAGUUUAUUUCAGCAAAACAAUCAGUCAAAUUUUCAAAUCAAAACCUUCUUCCUUGGGGCUUCAAAUUUUUUUUUAAUCGUUGGGAAGAAACAUUCCUGCUCUAAACAUUGUGCUUGUAGUUGAAAUGCCGAGGACUAAAAGAGUGUACAUUGUAAAAAAUCAAUGCCUUUUCAUCGUUCAGGGUUGACGGAGACAUGCGGUUUGAGUUCGAAUGGAGUUCCUGACGAAAUGUCCUUAAUCGGAACUGUCGGAGUGGCCUCUACGUAUACCGAACUGCGGCUAGAAGAAGUGCCCGAGAUGGGUUAUGAUCCGCUCAGUGUCCCUUCCCGCGGUGAAAUAUGCGUCAGAGGGAAAACUCUCUUUUCCGGGUACUACAAGAAUCCCGAACUGACGAAAGAAGUGAUGAUAGAUGGAUGGUUUCACACAGGUACAUGAAAAUCUCACAAUUUUGAUGUAUUGCUCUUCAAAAUGUCACAUUUAGCCGCGAGAAACUACACCUUCGAAGGGAACAGAUUAAAAUUCAGAUUUUGCAAGGGUGUAACCUCAUUAAUCCUUCGUGUUCAGGGGAUAUUGGAGAGAUCUCCCCAGAGGGAGUACUAAAAAUCAUAGAUAGGAAGAAGAACAUAUUCAAGCUAUCUCAUGGGGAAUAUGUUGCAGCAGAGUACCUGGAGAAAGUAUACGGUUACUUGCCGAUUAUCGAAGAUGUAAGCAUUUUACACUACUUUUGCUGUGGUCGAAAGAGCUUAGCGAUUCCUCGAGCAAUUAUAAUUAGACACAAUCAUUUUUUUUCUUUCUUUCUUUAGAUCUGGGUUUACGGGGACAGCUAUCGAUCCAUGUUAGUUGCGGUGGUUGCACCGCAUGAAGAUAAUACUAUGAAAUGGGCAGAGUCGAACGGCCACAAGGGAUCAUUUUACGACAUUUGUGCACUAGAGGAGCUUAAGAUUUACAUUCUUCAGGAGUUGAAGGCACUUGCAGAGAAAAAUAAGGUAAGAUUCUCUCUUUUUUUCCCUGAUGUAAAAGGAUAAAAUACUUGAUCAAGAAGAACAGAACUAUUUAGUUGGAUAUGAGCUUUGGUUUAUUAUAUCUGUCGUAUCUUUUACAGUAUGUUUUAUAAGAACAAAGUUACCGAUAAAUUGUUCAGUGCACUUGCGCUAACUUAUCGUCACUUGUUUACGAACCAGCUAAGAGGUUUCGAGUGCAUUAAAGGCGUUGUCGUGGAUCCGGUGCCUUUCAACGUUGAAAGGGAUUUGAUGACUCCGACUAUGAAGAAGAAAAGAUCCCAGAUGUUCAAACACUAUCAGGUAAACAGAAAGAACUGAAACUAUUGUUGUUUUUUGUGCUCUCUCUUAUUACAUCCAUUUCAUUUAGUCGUAAUUAAAUCUCUCUCCUUUUUUCUUUUUUUUGGUGCUGUGACAGUCGGAGAUCGAGAAACUCUACAAGAAUCUUGCAGAAAGGCGAGGAGAUAAUAAUAAAGUUAGAAAUGUAUGAUAAUUGGAUUGCAUUGUAUGUAAUGUGUUAAAUGGACAAAAUGCAUUAUUGUAUAUGAUACCUACUUAAAACUAUGGCCCUAAGAUCCUUUUAAGGCAAUAAAAUUAGAACUACUUAUUGCUAUUCUCGAAGCUUUUAUCACGAAUCUGUUUCUUUCUGAAAUGUUUGUUUGGUUUGGACAUAAAAUUGUGCCGAUGAUUUAUCGAUAGUAAGGCGACAAUUAAUGAGCCUGGCACUGAAGUAUGCAGUUGUGGAAGUUCAUGGGUGUUUACUUUUUGGAUGAGUUAACAAUGAAAAGAUGAUUAGUUCCGCGUUGUUCUUGCGUUAACAGGAGUACAUUUAUAUUUCAGCUUCACAAUUAUGAUGUUUCUGUGCGCAUUUCUAAUAACAUCAAACGCUAUUUUGGUUGCAGAAUUUUGAAUCUACAGAUGUUUCAGCUUCAGUUUGUGAAGAACUAGAAAAGUUCUCUAGAUGUUGCAUUGUUUAAGAAACACUAGUUUCAAUGCAGUUACUAUUGUUUAAUUAUUUUUCAAAAUAAUCACAUAAUAGUAUAUCAGAUUGUUAGGUCGAAUUACAAAUGAACGAUAAUUUUUUAGAUAAAAAAUGGAUGACAAUAAAAAGAAAUUAUAAUUUUAGUAUGCAUUUUUUGUGCUGCCGGCGCAUUCUUAUCCAUUUAGGCCGCAUUUGGUUCGGCUAAAGACGAAUCGACAAAUUUUUUCCGGUAUAAAAAAUAUUUUUCCAUGACGAAUCUACAAAUUAUUUCUGGUAUAAAAAAUAUUUUUUCCGUGUAUUUAGUUUUACAUAAAAAUAUUUUUUUUACGGAUUUUGAAAAAAAUUAUAAUUUUCGUCUUCCGUUGUUUUUCAGCGAAAAAUGAAUACUCCAGCCACAUAAAAUUUUUUUAUUUAUUUUUUUCCAAAUCAAAGCAAAUGUGAAUUUUUUUCUUAUAACCAAACAAAUGUUGAUAAAAAAAGAAAAUUUUCUACAAAUGAAAUACUACAAAAAAAAAAAUUUAUCAAAAUUUUUUUUCACGAAAAAUUAUUUUUCAAUUGAACAAAAACCCGUAGGAAAAGAAAAAAAAAAAACGUUGAACUUAGUUAGCUGCACGAUCCAUAUAGACCACUCCGUCCAACAGCUUACACGUGUCUGUAGAUUAUUGGACCUCCAGUCAUCCGAUUCAUGAAUGACGUGGUACACAAAGACCACGCAAUAAUGUAUUCUAAUCGCCCGAUUUUAACCCCACACCCCACUCCGUUCCCACUCCAUCCAACGGCUGUAGCGGUUCCCUCCUUGGAAAAUGGCGGCGCUAUGGGCUCACCUCUCCAAACGCCUCAUCGGCGGCGGCGGCGCCUCCUCCUCCUCCGCCGCCGCGCCGCCGNNNNNNNNNNNNNNNNNNNNNGCCCCCCCCCCACCCCCCCACCCCUCCUCUGAUCGCCUCGUUCUAGGGUUUUGCUAGGGUUUCAUCUCCUUCCCUGCUCUUUUCGCAGCGAAGGUGGGGAUCCCGGAGUUCCUCAGGGGGGUGGGGAAGGGCGUGGAGGCGCACGUGGCGAAGCUCGAGGCGGAGAUCGGCGACAUCCAGAAUCUUCUCGUCGCCCGAACCCUUCGCCUCAAGAAGCUCGGCAUCCCCUGCAAACACGUAAUCGCUCUACACUCCCCCUCGUUUUAUUCGAAUUAAUUUACUAAUUAUCAUGAAAAAAUUGUUUCUUGUGUUUAUUUUCUUGGUUUCUCCCUCAAAUUAUCUUAAAGUUGCUUGCUUGCUUGCGGUAGCUUCAUUAGUUCCUUUUUCUAGAUGGAAGGAGUACAAAUGGAUUGAAUGCCGUUAUUGGGAGCAUUUUAUAUGCUUGAUUUGAUUUUAUGAUUUAGUUACUUAGUGAUUUAGAAGAUGGGGACAGUGGAAAUUAAUCUUGAAUAAAGAUCAACCUAUGUAAAGUCGCUUUGAAAAGAGAAUAGAGGGGGUUCCUUUUUUUUUCCAAUGAGCACUGUGAGGAGGUUCUUGAUGCAUUUCAUGUUUUAAUACUAUUGUAUAUAAGGAAUUGGUGUUGUAAUUUUGUUGCAGUGAUGAAGAAUGUAGUAUCUUCCUUAGUCAUUUUCUUUGCAAGGUUGUAAUUUGAAUCGUUUCAUGCAUUAAAAUUAAUAAGUAACACGCUUUUUGGUCAUUGGAAUGCCAAAUUAGACAAAUAGCUUUUUAGCCUUCUAGAACGGCUUCUACUAUUGACCAUUUUUUAUGGGCCAUGAGAGGUUAACUUUGGUCAUUGCUAAGUUAAAGCAUUGGUUUUGGUUUAUGUUGGGAUCCUGAAGUUUGGCUUCAACAUUUGCAAGACCUGUAUUUUUUUCUACUUUUUGGUUCCUUCACAAACAUGCAUAAAAUUCUGAAUUCAAAAAUAUGUGAAGAUUUGAAUUAAUCUAGAGAAUCAUAGUUUUUAUAUAUUUAGAUGUAUUGAAGUGUUGUUUUAUGCCACUUUCAUGUGUAACUCAGUUGAUUUCCAAGUUGUUGCCUAUUUAGUCAGAGAAAAGAAAUUAGAAAGUAAAGUAGGAAUCAUGGAGUUGUUACUGGACACUUUAGUAACCUUCUCUACAUAUACACUUGCCUGGAUAUAUGUAGGAAUCUCGGAUCCCCUUUUCUUUGGAGCAUAUCUAUAAGACUUAUGAUGCCUUAUCCCUAUGCGAAAAGCCUAAUCACUUUUCACUGCAACUUCAACCAUUAAUGGUUGGAGAGUCCUGUCAUCUAACAAUACUGAUUACUUUUGAGUUAAUUUGCUUGCAAUGUCAUCAUGAUUUACAAAUUGUGAUGGAUUAAUAGUGAGUUGAGUUGACCUGUACUGGUCAACCUGAAAUGAGAUCUCUUGUCAAUAUAGGUUUAUAAAGUCUUGGCAAACAAAAUGUGUUGAAAUACAGUGCUAGCCUCUUGUGUGAAAGACGCUUUCGAUGGUAGUUAUUGCCUUGUUGAUUGGUCGUAGGGUAUGUUUGGUAGCUUAAGCAAGGCUUCGCUUUUAAACUUGCAACUUUUUGAGUUCAACAGGAACUGUCAAUUUAAUUCGAUUACUUGGUCAAAUCAGGAUGUCCAAUUUGGAUCCUGCAUUGCCUUAGGGUCGCCUAAUCCAACCCUAAUUUUGAGUUGGGUAAUGUUUGACAUCAAAUCAACCUGAAACCAUCUUAUCCAAGCCAAUCAGGUCUGUUCAUAGAACAUAGAUUAUCUUUCUAGGAGAUGUAUAGCAGCAUAGAGAUACUUCUUACACCCCGUGAAGAACAAAAAGGUGUGAUUCAUUAUCUCCAUCUAUCUUUUGUGUUGGGAAUUGUGAUUUCCAUACACUAAGCAUAUGCUAAAACCCUACCUCACUAGAACUUACCGUAGACUGGAAAUUUCCCUGUCAAAUGUUUUUUUCGUUCUUAGUAACUCUUUCCUGGUGACUUUUUAACCCAAAUACCAUCUCGACGGUGUGCAAGUAUUUUCUCUAACCUUAUGGCAACCUUUCUUUGGUGACUUGAAAAGUUCAUUUAUCUGGAAGAUUGGAAAGGUACUUAAGGCAUGGUUCAAAAACUCCUUUUUAAUUUGGUCUGUCAAAAUGAAACAUUUCGGCAUUUAUGGUUAGGUAAUUUCUGUUAUUUGCUCUCGAACAAGUCUAUUGGAAACAACUUGACCUCACAGCAUUAAUCUCGUAAUAUUUUGAUAUAUUAGACUUAUGUUUUAUGUUACUUCUAUGAACUAUAAUGUUGGUUUUCAUAUUGGCACCUAAAUUAUGUUGUUCUCUAUAUGUUUUGCUUUGGGUUGUGUGCAUGCACAAGGGAAAGGUUUAUCCUUACUGAGAAGCCUUAUGAAUAUUAUUUACGGCUAUUUGAUAAUACUUGACCAGCCCAAAUUAAGUUGAUGAUUGAACAAGCAUGCAUGUUUUAUUUACCCAAAGAUGUUAAUGCCACUCUGUAUCUGACUUCAUAAUAUUGCUUGAUAUACUUACUGUGAGGUUUCCGUGAUGUUUUUUGAGUCACGCAGAGGAAGUUGAUCCUGAAGUACACCCAGAAGUAUAGGCUUGGACUUUGGAGGCCCCGGGCUGAACCACAAAAGUUGCAGUGAUGUUAACUUUGGUGGUUGAAGAAAACCAACUUUGAGAGAGCACUCUCCAAAAUGAACUUGCAAAUAGCCGUCUCCUUUCUGAACUCUUGAUCUGAAAAUGAAUAAGGCAUCAGGUGGUUUCAGAGUCGUUCAAACUGUCCACGAGAACAUUAUUUGGAUGUGUCGCUCGACAAUGAUCAUAGGUUCCAACUUGAAAAAUAUGAAACCCAUCUAGGUGACUCUUACAUGGUAAUUGCGGUUUAAUACCUUUAUAAUCUUGUAUCCUUUCCUGACCGUACUAUUUGUUUUUGAAAAGUUUAUAUUAUUGGUACGUAAUUACAGCUUCGUAUGAAAGGAACUUCUGCUUCUUUAAAUCAUGGUAUUUAGUACUUUUCGCUAUCACACGGUCAUCCUCCUAUGACUUAGAGCGAGCAUCAGUUAGGUUGGUUUGGUUUUAGAGGGUUGUUUUAAGAAUAGCGAUGAACCCUACCAAACGAAAGUGGAAUAAUUCAGUUCAAUUCAGUUCGGUUGGUUUAUUUUGUCUGGUCAAGAAAUUCCACUUGUCGAAUGACAGAUAUUAGUAAACAAUUUUUAGUAUGAUUACAUCCGUUUAAGUGUUUAAGCAGCCAAUUUGUUUCAAACUGCUAUUAAUGCAGUUUAUUGAGUUUCUAGGUGUAUCUUAAGCUGAAAAGAAAAAAUGGACCGACUCAUUCGAGUUCUGGAGUUCGUUUUGGACUAGACAGUUCUCACCCCCCUGCCGAUGACUCUAGAUUCCUACUUGAAGAUGGAAAAUUGUACAUGAUAUUUUGCAGUCUAGUGCCUUUUGGGUGUUGUAUUUUCUAGUCAGACAAGCUCAGUGGUCCUACUGCAUAUUCCUACAGGUAAACUGCUUUCUAGUGGAUAGAAGCUGAUUCUGCUUUUUCAUGUGUGGCGUGUAAAUGUAUACAAGCAAUCUUGACACUUAGAAAAGUUGUGAACUCUUUAGAGUAGUUUGGAUUAGGCCAACUAAAGGUACAGUAGUUGUUCUUUUGUUAUGCAGGUGGAUUAGAUUGUGUAGAUGAACCGAAGUGAUUUCUCAUGUUAUUCAUUUACCUGUAUGCAACCAGAGGCUAUAUAAUUACCAAAGUUGGUGGUGCUAAAACAAGAUUGGGUAGGAGAAUUUUCUUGUAUUAUUAUGAGCAAGUUGUAUAAUUUGGGCCUCUUCAAAUAUUUUGUUAUCUAUAAUUUAAUAAGAUAACAUAUUUUACCUAUAAGGUGAUUUCUUUUAUUCUGAAUAAAUGACUUGAAGUUUGAAUAUUAUAUUUUAUUUUAAAUAUUUGAUCACAUUUUGUAUCAAUCAGAUGAUAAAUUUCAGAAUAAAUUGUAGGAAUAUACUGAAAAAGAUAUUCAUGUAUCUAAACGUAUGUUAUAUGUAUGUUUGCUACAUGUCAAAUCUAAAUGGCAAGAUUUGACGCUGACGUGGUAAAUAUUGGUUGGUGUUAACACAGUAGUCUGAAAUAAACAAUUAAGGUUGUGGACCUAAUUGGAAAAAAGAAAAGACCAAAAUGAAAAAAUUCGAUAAAAGUUGGGACAAUUGUGCCAUUAAUUGUAUUCUACUGAAAGGGCAAUAGUUAAUUAAAAAAAAUUAUAUUGAUAAAUUCCCUAAGUUGGUAACAUUUUUUGGACAUAUAUCCAGAUACUUAUCCACUUGUAACAUGUUCCAAAGAAAGUGUCAGAUUAAAUUAUUUAUUUAUUUAUUUAUUUAUCCAGAUAAGGCAUCCCCACAUUGGUAGUGGUUUUAGCCAGUUGGUUGGUGAUGGUUGCAGGUGCCAUAUUUAUGUAAGCAUCAAUAGAAAUUAAUUUAGUCCCCUUCACUUCUUUUUCAAGAUCACUCUGGUGGAGCCCAUACUUUGGUAAAAAGAUUUGUUUCUUUUAAUUGUUUUUCUCUUCAUAGUGUUGCAAGAACUAUCAAGUUUUCCUGCUAAAACCGUGCUAACAACUUCAAAUCAAAAUUGAUCUCUACAUUUUAAGACCUGAAAGCUCACUAUCUUUCUAUCACGAUUGAGGAUUCCAAAUUUCUUGUUUGCUACACAGCUUAGGAGAGACAUAUCAAAAUCUAACCAAAACAAAAUGUUCAAAAAAAGUAAAAUGAUCUAUUCAAUGAUCCAAUAUCUCUAUCAACUAACCUAGCAAUUAGAAACAAUUCAAGUGCAUUGCAAAACAAAGUGUAUGAGAGAGGGAGGGGCUGUUCUUACAAAUUAGAAAAAGAAAUACAGAGGAGAUGAAAAUACAGCAUCAAAAUUUCCAGUAAAAAUUGCCAAUAAAAAGGAAGACCAAAAGGACCUCCAAAUUCUCAGCAGAAAACUCAUGCUGUCAUUUACAGGGCACACCUCAGCAAAGGGCAAAAAACCUCAUGACAUUAUAUAUACAUAGCGUAGAUUACGUAAAAUUACAGGCGUCGUCACAACGCAGCCUAUUUAUUUAUCUUUUCUCUUCUUUUUUUCUUUUUUUUUUUUUCUGACCCUUGAUACAAAAUCCUUCUCAACCAGGUACUCGGCUUUCCUCUCCGUGGACACUCAGCCGAGAUAAUGCGGUCACGUCGCUGCAAAAGAACAAUGAAUGGUAAUUGUUAUCAGCUCAAUUUUUUUUUUUUUUUUCCCUUUGUGAUUUUUGGGUGGACACUCUGACCAAAAGAAUGACAGAUAAUAUUACUCCUAGCUAACGAUUGUCGCAAAUUUCAACCAAAAUGCUCUAUAUUUGAAGCAAAAGAGAUGAUAGCUAUGUUGCACAGAUGGAUACGGGAUACGAAGAUACAAUAUGGAUAAAAAGAUGCGACGAAUUCUCAAACAAGGAAACACUCGAUGGCCACAUUCACCUAGUAUCGGUCAUGUAUCAGACGCGUAUCGAUCGCUAAUACACAAAGCAUACGGUCACAGCUUUCAAAAUGAAGUGUCCAUCGAUCCUAGGAUAAUAGGUUUUCAAUGUAGGGGAGCUUUGAGAGAAGAACAACAUUAAGUUACAAGUUACACACAGAAAAAAAGAGGAGUGACAUACUUGGUAGAUGCAGAGGUAGAACCACCGGGGCUGAUCAUAGAGACAUUAUUGUAGAAUUGAACAGAGAUAAGUCCACCAUUUACCGAUGAUUCAGGAGAACCACGAAAGCUUAAACUCGAGCUAUUUCUUGAAAAAACUCCUGCCAACGAAGAAGAAACGGUACAAAUUACACAAGGAAAAUGAUCGCAUACAUGCUAUAUAUGUACUUGAAUGAAGUUUGACGCUUUACACUAAUUGUUCAACAAAGAUGAAGAUAUUUUCAAAUUUCCUUCCAAUGGACAUUCGACAAGUAAUAGUAGCUAAUUUAAUCAGAUUCAUUCCACAACUUAAUCCAUAAACCUGUUGAGCACAUGCAACUACAAACAGCACUCCAGAGUGUAGAAAGGUUUCUAAUAUGGAUAUAAUGUCAAAAGCAUACAUAUUUGUCCUAAGUUUUAACGUCUCUACGCAUUUAAAGAGAGUGCAAAAAUUACCAUCUUUAGAAGCUAAAAGAUAUGUUAUACACGCUUAGGCCUUCAUCCUUGUCCAAUUCUAGUUACUAUAUAUGAAAUAGUAGAAAAUCCAACAAAAGAUCAUGCAAGUAAUAAAAGAUGCAAAUCAUUUUACGUGCAAUGAAAAUAGUGACAGGUUAAAACCCGAAGCAACCAAAUAACAUAUAUAAAAAUGUACAAAUAGUAAGAAAAGAAUGUAUCUGUAAUGUAUGCUGUAACUAGAUAAGCAACAUUAAGGACAGUUAUAUUACAUACUAAAUAAACUCCAAGGAAAGGACUAUGACGAAAUGAGAUGACUAUAGUAUAGCACCAAUAAUGUCGAUCAGAAGAUUACAGAAAGAUAAAAGGUACAUUGAAAUUAAAAAGGAAAAAAUAUCAGAAAAACUAUGAAUUAAAAAGAAAUAUAGGAAAUUGUUAUUAGCAAACCAAGUUAUUCUUAUGCUGCUAUCAUGUAACAGUGAAACUAGCCUAGCAAGGAAAGGAUUUGAAAAAAAGAAAACAAGAGCACUAAUUAGUUUCCUAUUAUGCUUAUGGUGUAGUUAUACAACAAGAAAAGAAAGCACAUAUUUGGUCAUCUUAAAAGACUUAGUUAGGCGAAAGCAAAUAUCUUGUUCAUGCAUCAUCUACUAAGGAUAGUGUUAGCACAAUGCGAGAACGAACUUGUAGACUCAACAAUGAUGAUAUUUCAUAAAUAAGUGAUGAUCUUUUAUACACCGAGUAUCACAAAUGAUAUUGCAAAGGAUAUAGUAGCACUUAUUAUUAGGAACACAAGUAAACCUACUGGAAUUCUCUAAUUGAAUUUGAGUUUCAAGUACUUAAAAACUUCUCAUUGCUAGCAUAAACCUGUUCAAUAUGCAUCAACCAAUAUGAUCAAUUAGCACCAAUUUGUAGAAAUCAUGUAACUCAAUUGACCCACCUUGCCAUAUUAUAACAAGGCAAAAGAGAAUGGUGAUAACUAAAGCACCCAAAUUGGUACUGGGCACUGACGAUGCCGACUUGGCAUUCUUCGUCCGCUUCAGCUCCUUCAUCCUCUCAAUCCUCGCCCUCUUCAUCGUCGCCAGCUCGGACAUCUCGCGGAUGAGCUUCUCGUCAGCGGAAUCCAAUGCCAGCGGCUUCGGAGGCCGGGGAGGCUUCGGGGGCUUCUUGGGCCGCUUCUUCUUCGGCUUCUCAGCUUCGGGCUUCUGCACAAGCCCUUCCUUUUCCACUACAGCUUCUCCAUUAAUAGGAACCUCUUUACUCUUGAGGCAUCCCUCGUCGCCCACAAAACCAUUCCAUACCUUACUCAAAACAGCUUUUGCCUCUCCAGCCCUAGAGAUUGGGUCUCUUGACGCGCCAUGCUCGUCAACUAUUAUUGAUUUUGUCCCACUCUCGAGAUCAAUUGAGGCAUGAUCGAUCGAGACAUCUCGAUCAAUCAAUCUCUUUGUUUCCAUCACAAAACACAAUAUAAAUCUCUUAAAUCAUCACAAAAUGAGCCAAAAAUCUACUCCUUUUUUCUUCGGUAGUCCUAGGUUAGAUUAGAUCCUUCCAAAAAAACCCAGCAUCAGAUUCUCCAUAUCUUUGCCUAAAUCAUUGGAAUAUAUCUCAAAUCCACCAUCUCCCUGAAAAAAAAUUAGGGCGCAAAAUCAAGCUCAUUCCCCAACAAUUCGAACCAUUUCCCCCCACAACCAUCGAAAAAUAGCAAAUUGAAACACAAAUGCAGCUGAGAAAAAAAAAACACCAUCAAAAACGAAUUUUGAAACUGAAUCCUUAACCGAACCAUAUAAAACCCAAAUAUUACCUAAAGAUCAACAGAAAGGGCAAAACCGUAUAAGAGGAAACAGCCAAAAACGCGUAAAGCUCUCAACUUUCACCCUAAAAUCAAGGGGGCGAACGCUUAUCCUACCUCCGGAGUGUACUAGAAAUGAUCGAAUCGAAUAAAUUAGAGGAAAAAAGAGAGAGAGAUGAAUCCAACGAGGUGAGAGAAGAGGAUAGGGUUAGGGUUUUCAAGGGGCGGAUUCGGAGCUCAUAGGGCAACGUGAGAGAGAGAAAGAGAGAGAGAGAGAGAGGAAUUGUUAAUGGAAUUAAAAAUUAGAAAAAAAAAAAGAGGGGAUUUUUUUUUUUGAGAAAAAAAAAGAGGGGAUUUUAAUGGCGUCGGAAGGGAAAGGGCCAAAGGAGAGAGAGAGAGAGGAGAAUAAACUAUUGCGUGGACCGCGGUCUAUAGACCGAGUCCGUUUAACUCAAGCACCAGGUUUAACAAAAUAAAAAAUCUUUACAAAUAAAUAAUAUUAAAACAAAAAUUUUAAAAGUAAUAAUUUUUUUAAAAAAUUCAUAAUAAAUUUCUAAAAUUAAAAUUUCAAAUCAAUGGAUGUGGUUACAUACAAACAGCAAAAGAAUGAUUACAAAAAAAAUUUAAAAAAGUUGUAAGCUGUAAGCCUACUCAUGUAAUGUAGACAUGAAUAUUAUUUCGUUAAAAAAUUUAAGUUUAUCAUCUAGAUUUUGAAAAAAAAAAAAGGUCAAAUUACUAAAUAUUUUUAAAAAUAUAAUACAACUUUUUUUUCAAAUUUCCUAAAAUUUAGGUUAGUUUGGUAUGCUCUGUUUUUAAUAAAUUAAAAAUAUUUUAGACGUGUGUUAAUCACGUCAAAAGAAGGUUACGAAACCCCGGUCUAUGGACCACGGUCCACGCAAAAAAAGCUCCACUCUUAGAACGUGAAAGGGUCAAAUUGUACUCUAGGGUUCGGAUAAGGGGAAAAAGUGAUCUUUGGACACGUGUCCUACAUCUGGGCCGUCCAUUUGGAUGGAUCUUUCGAGAAGUUUGUGAACAAUACCAAGUCCACAGUGGGGGACACCACAACACGUCCAAACGAAGAGACAUAAAAUAAAUAAAAUAAAUAAAUAAAUAAAUAAAUAAAUAAAACAAACCUUGUACGACCAAAACCCACGGUGUACGCGAAGAUUCGGCGAUAGCUCCUCGAAUAUGCCGAGUUCACCUUUUUCUUUUUCUUUUUUUUUUGGGGUCCUUUUAUUCCUACUUGUUAUGUUAUGUGUUUUUCUUUUUUCCUUUUAUGAAAAUGGCAAUUGGUUACGAAAAGGAGUUUAAAAGACUCAAAUAUGCACACCCACACUGUUAAGUUUAUAAUAAAAGUUUUAAAAUGGAAAUCUAACUUAUUAAAUAUCUUAUAAAAAUAUUAUAAAAUUUGAAUACCGAUUUCUCACAAAUCAAAUAAUGACUAUUUCUUCACCAAUUAAAUAUUGUUAUAAUUUAAUAUCUUUAUUUAUAUAUAUGCCUUCAAAUCUUAUGUUCAGAUGGUAAAAAGCAUAUACAUGUAUAUGUUUUUAUUGGAUUUAAAUCUUAAAUUAUUGAUCAUCCAAAAUUACGGAGCUAUUUGAUUGCACAUAAUUACAAUUGUACUUUAUUUAUAAUUACACGUAGAUUCAAAUUUGGUAUUCAUUUUGAUGCAUUUGAAUUCAACUGUUACAGUUGUAGUUGCACAAGAAAGCUCAAGUGUAGUAGUUGGAAUUGCAUUUAAAUUGGCUACAAUUUUAACUCCAGCACUUGAAAGGAAUAAUUUCAAACAAAAAUUUAGUUGUAUGUAGUUUCGACUGCAGCACUUAAAAAAAAUAAUUUUUCAACAAAGAUAAACAAACCGAUCUCUCUAAUAACCUUUAAAAUUGAAUUCCCUUCCUACAAAAGGGGUAAUUUCAUCAUUUCCUAGAAAAUGAUAGAAAUUUGUAAAUACACUUCUCAACGGUAUACAACGGAACGUAGUAUUUAUAACUGCAGCAUUUACUACAACAUUCAAUAAAAUAAGAUACACAUAAUUAUAAUUAUUGUAUUGUUAACCGUAUAUUUUUUUAAUUAUACUGUAUUUAUAAUUAUAUCGAACAAAACAGCCGUAAGCACAGUACAUAGGAUGUACUAACACAGCUGUGCAGGGCAAAAGCUUGUCCUUGUGAUGACCAAAAAUUAAAUUAAAAAAAGGAAAAUCAAACUCAGAUUAUGGUUGUAUGAUGGGAUAGUUUUCCGUAACGAACUUAGAAACACAUGCUCGUGAAAAUGAUUAUAAUUAUUUGCACUAUAAUAAUGAUAGCAAUUAUGGGAUGAGCCAUCAAUUUUUUAGGCCACCCAUACACAACAUCAUGUUUCUUUGUGGUUUAGCUAACAUUAAUCGUAAUUUAAAUUAGAAUCAAAAUGCUUGUUCUAACCCCUCUCUAAAUUGUAAAAAAAAAAAUUGCGUCGUAAUCGGAUUGGAUUUUGAUUAGGAGAACGAACAGAUGAUGCAAAUUUGCAAAGUAGCAGUGUCAUCUUUAAUCUCCUGAAUUUGAGAUUUUUUAUUAUUAUUAUUAUUCUUUUUUUUUGUUUCCCAAAAAUUGUUUGGUUUAGUUUGUAAUAAUUAUAGCAAUACUGUAUGGUUUUCUUGAAAACCCAUUGUUUUUAAAAAAUAGGAGAAACUUCAAAUACCCCCUUGUGGUUUCAUUUUUUCUCACUUUAGUACCGUAUAGUUUAAAGUAGGGUUAUUUGCAUACACGUCCCUGCAAACAUAGUAAAUUGCGGAAAUAUCCCUGCAAAACGGAAACUCCAUAAGCUGUCCCUGCAAAAGUCCUAAUUUAUGCAGAUAUGUCCCUCUGAUUAACAUCUGUUAGAGAUCUGUUUAUUUUUUAACAGUUUUCAUGUGAAAUGACCAUUUUGCCCUCACAAAUAUAUCCCUCCAAAAGCAUCUUCCCCCUUGCUUUCUCUUCCUCUUCGGGCCGCCGGAGCGGAUGGCGGCGACGGCGCGGGUCGAGCUCGCCGGCGACAAAGAAGAGGGAAGAGAAAGAAUGAGAGGAAGAAAAAAAGGGAAGAGGAAGAAGAAGAGGAAGAGGGAGAGGAAGAGGGAAGAGAAAGAUGAAGAAGGAAAGGGUUCGUCGCCACGCGCCGCCGCCGCAUCUCCUCCCUCGCCGGCGACGAAGAAGAGGGAAGAGGAAGAGGAAGAGGAAAAGAAAGAGGGAGAGGAAGAAGAAGAGGGAGAGGGAGAGGGUUCGCCCGCCGUCGCAUCUUCUCCCUCGCCGGCGAUGAAGAAGAGGAAAGAGGAAGAGGGAGAGGAAGAAGAAGGGAGAAAAGGGAAGAGGGAGAGGAAGAAAGAGGAAAAGAAAGAGAGAGGGUUCGCCGUCGUCGCCGUCGUCGCCGCCGUCGCUGCCGCCGCCGCCCUCGCCGGCGACGAAGAAGAGGGAAGAAGAUGAUGAGGAAGAAGAAGAAGGGUAGGAUCGUAAAUUUACCUUAUACUUAACCAUGGUUAAGUACUUUAACCGUGGUUAAUGAAAAUUUUCUAACAGUCCUUAACGGCAGGGACAUAUCUGCAUAACUUUAGACUUUUGCAGGGAUAACUUAUGGAGUUUCCGUUUUGCAGGGAUAUUUCCGCAAUUGACUAUGUUUGCAAGGACCUGUAUGCAUUUAACCCUUUAAAGUAUAUCAAGUUAGUAUCAUAUGGUUUUGCACUUUUUUACUUUAGUACCCUGUGGUUUAAAGUGUAUUAAAUUAGUAUCCUAUGGUUUCGCACUUUCUUAUUUUAGUACCCUGUGGUUUCGCACUUUCUCACUUUAGUACCCUAUGGUUUAAAAAUCACAGGGUACUAACUUGAUACAAAAAUAAAACUACAGAGUACUAACUUGAUACAAAAAUAAAGCACAGAGUACUAACUUGAUACACUUUAAACCAUAGGGUACUAAAGUGAGAAAGUGCGAAACCACAGGGUACUAACUUGAUACACUUUAAGCCACAGGAAUAGUAAAUGAAAAAGUACAAAAUUACAGGGGGUUUUUUGAAGUUUUCCCUUAAAAAAAAACAAUAUUAAUGAGUAUGAGUUUUCAUAUCAGUGUCUGCAGAAGAGGGAAAGGCCCAUGGACAACAUUUAUUGAGCAGUUUAAUGGCACAUGCAAAAAGCCCAUCUCUAACUUCAAUUGAGAUCUCCCUUUGCAUGAUGUUGCGUCACGUGUAGUGAGACAGUGCGAUGAAAUAUACUCUAUUUAUUUUCGUACGUGCUCGCACAGAAAAACAUUUUUUCACCUGCAACCUACAUCAUAUUGGAGCCAUUUAGAUUUUUCUUUUCGGAGGUUAAAUUACAGAAAGCUCUCUUAUAAAUAUUCGUUUUUUCACUUUUCUUCCUAAUUUUUAAAAAUCUAUAUUCUAUCCACUCAAUAUUUCAAGUUAUUAUAUUUAACCUCCCUUGUCAGAAACUCAGGAUUUCAUUAUCAUUCCGUCCAUGUUUUAUAAUUUAUACUGAAAAUACAUUUCAAAAUAAUAAAAACAUAUUAAAAAAAUUUAUUUUUUUAUAAAAAAAGGAUAAUUUGAUCAUUUUCGCCUCUCCAUUAAUAACGUACUUUUCUGAAAAUAUUUCUAAAAUUUUAAAAAACAAAUAUAAAUUUUAAAAAAUUAGAGACAAAAAGUGAAAGAAAAUAGAUAUUUACUGAAACAUUUUUUAUAAUUUAGCCCCCCCCUUUUUUUUUUAAAGUGCUACUAACUGUUUUAAUGCUUGCAAAUAAUUCUUUUCGAAAACUAUUCAUUCAGAAAACUUCUGAUCGUUGUACAGUUGGCGUGAUAGGAUUUGGGGGAGUUUCAGGAACAUUUAUGGAAUCAAUAUUAAGAAUUGGGGUGUACAGUACAUGAGUAAAUAGUCACAAGGCACCUCAAAAUAUGACUUCAAAACUAAAUUCAUUCAAAUUGGAUUUGAAACGGGACUUAAACGAGACUAAACCAACUAAAAUUUCAAUAGUUUGAUUAGUUAUUAGGUUAUCUUAAAGUUGACCGACAUAGCAUAAAUUAUUAUUCUUAACAUCCAACAUUUCACAUUGGUUGAAACAAAAACCUAUCUACCUCCCAACACACUCUGGAAUAAAAGAUUUAGGGAUAACUUCAAACACACCCCCCCCCCCCAUGUAGUUUAAAGCAUAUCAAUUUACCCCCGUGGUUUCAUUUUUCUUUUUUUAUUAUCAAUUUUAUUAUCAAUUUUUCUUAAAUCAAUGACAAAAUUAAAAUUAAAAAAUACUAAAGUAAAAAUUCAAUAAAACUAUAUAGAUAUCUGAAGUUUUUUAUAUAUAAUUUAACGAAAUAUUAAAAAAAAAGCUACCGAAAAAAUAAAAACAAAACCACAGGAGAGCAAAUUAAUACACUUUAAACCACAGGGUACUAAAAUGAGAAAGUGCAAAACCACAUGGGUUUUUUUUUGAAGUAUUCCCAAAGAUUUAAACAACAGGCAGCAGAAGCAGAACCAUGGCCAAAGGGGUACACUUUGAAGAUGAUACAAACGAUUCCUUACCAUUUGCCCACCCUUUUAUAAGGGAAAAAAGAGAGGGCAAUAGACAGAUUUACCGAUCAAAACAAUGCGCAAAACAUUCCACAGAAAUCAGAUAUGUUCAUAUACCAGGAAACCGAGUUAAAACAACUGAGUUCGCACUGAUUACCGACGAUCAAAGAUAAGAUCCAAGGUUUAAAAGUUUAACACAUGAAGAUCGAUAUGUGAAAAAGAGUGUCAAACAGUUCCGUCGAUGGAAGCAGCGGCCCAACAAUACAACUCUUAGCAGUUAGGAGUUUUCUACAGGAAUAUGUCUCAAAUACAAGUUGCUACUAAUUAGCUUCUAGUUCUCUUAGAGAAGCUACAUGAUAACAGAGAAAGUAAGUACUUACCAAGGGAACGGCAUUCUCUAUAUUACCUUGAAACCCCAUUUAGGCACCCUGAAAAUUUGCGCAAUUUGUUUUAGGUACAAAUGUAAACAACAAAAAAAGGGGGAAAAACAGAAACUUCUAUCCAUCAACACCGCAACCAUCUACGUUGCACUACCAGCAUACCUACCUCCAAAUGCCACCCCCUUUUUUCCAAUUUGGAUAGCUAAAUCUGAAUAGGUAACAACACCAAUCUAUACAAAUUCCUACAAUUUAGAUUGCUAAAGAUGGGUAGGAGUAAACUCACCAACUGAUCCCAAAACCAAAGCUAAUACUGGCCAUACGUUUUGCCGUAAUCUUCAUGCCUCUGAUUUUGGUAGUCACUGUAUGCAUCAUGAGGCCUCGGAGCGGAAUAGUUCUCAUUGGGAUAUGGAUAUCUAUUCCUCGUAUCCAUGGAUAAUCCAGUAUUUCCUACAUAUUGCAUGUUCCUCUGAUCAUAAUCUGGGUAUGCAGGCCGAGUAUAAGCAGUUUGGAGGGCCUGAUGCUGCUGCCGUUGUAUUGUAUCGAGACGAAGAAACUCUUCCCACUGCUUCGAAUGCAUGCUCCUUAUGACUCCUAGCUUCUUCAUGUAGUUCUCUUUAAGCUCUCUAAUGAACUGCAUUCACAGGGUAAAAGAAAAGAGAAUUUACAUACAAAAUGAUGGGAGCGUGACCAAUAGAUUAUUGUACAGUUUUCGGCACACAUACCUCUGCAAAAAUGUGAAUUUGUCCAAAUAAUCAUGCAAAGUUGCUAUUUGCAAGUGUGCCCUCAAAAACCUUACUUAUUUGCAAGCCCCUACCAAGAUAUCUAUGCUUACACAGAAGAAUUUGCAUAGAAACCCUUUGCAGAGAAUGCCCACCAGAAAGUACAGUUUCAAGGGUACACACACAAAUACCAAAUUUGCAGGGGUACUUGUGCAAUGUCACCUAUGUAUGGGUACAUAUGCAAAGAAUCCUAGAAUGUUAUUCAAAGGACCCAGAAGUAAAUCUUUACAUUAGAAAAUAGCCUAUUAUGAAACAGCUAUUGAUGAGGAGCUUUAUUGUAUGCAAACUGGUUGCGUUGAAACCUAAUGAAAUGCAACUAGAAAAUCAAGAGUGCUUCUUUUUACAUUUCUUCCUUUAUUGAGAGAGAGAGAGAGAGAGAGAGAGAGAGAGAGAGAGGAAAAACAAAUAUUAAAUGGUAACUCUGCAGAAACAAAUAAUUAGAAAAAAAGUAUCUAACCGCACAUAAAAGCAAGCAAACUCUGAACCAUCAGUGCUUGUGUUAGUGGCUAAUGUGCUAUUGCAAAAGCUAUCAAGCUGACACAAAGUAAAGUGCCUUACCUUUUAUUUAUCAGAAUCGGAGAACAAUGUGAAGAAAAUCAGAGAAGAAAACACCAUUCUAAAAAUAAACACGUAGAAUCUAUCAGAAGCCCAUUUUUCAUACAAGGGAUCAGUUAAUUAAAAGUAAUGGACAAGUCAUUAACAAUAAAAUAUAAGAAAUGAAGCCUUACAAUUAUUCAACUCAAUAUCAACCAAUAUGUAGGUUUUAUUUCUGAAUCUGGGUUUCUAUGUGCUAGUUUAGCCAGACGAUUGCAUACUGAACAAAUUGGCAACAAAUUGGAAAAAUUUAGCAGGUUAGCACAAGAGUAUAACUUAUUUAACUCUAACCGUCUAGAAAUAUAGACUAUAUAAUUAUGUAAACAAAAAAAAAGGUGUCCAAAUCACCAGGAUCUGGUACAAGCAUACAGCAUGGUGGAUGCCACCCAGAAUGAACUCAUACCUAUGGUUAAAUUUUUAGUAGGUGUUUCCUUUGUUGAAAAACAAGGAGUCCCUGUUGCUGCACUGGGUGAAAUACCAUAACUACAUAAUGAAUAGAUUUGACCUGCUUACUUCAUACAAGAAAAGGUAUACUUAGCCCCGUGCCAACCUGAUGACAAAUAUAGGAAAAUGUCUCCCCAAAAUGCAAAAUAGUUUAUUCUUCUUGAAAUCUAAGGGCAUCGCCGACCAUACAAUUUCUAAAUUUAUUUACUCAUCUCAAUAGUGUAUAAUAAAACAUGCACAUAUUCAUUUCAGGCCUCACGAAAUCAACCAUAUAAACAUAGACCAGAAACUUUCCCAGGGUUAAAAGCAACACUUAUCACUUACCUUUCUUUUCACCGCUUACCUUUCUUUCUAAGUCAGAUGUGUUAAUGUAAUUCUUCAGAAUACCACAUGUACUUUAAAAAAAAAAAGGAGCAUGUAAACUACAUUUUUUGCGAUAAGCACGUAGAUUGAGUAGACUCUCUGUGAAUGUAAUGCAAAAGAUAAAUAUACUACAGAAAACAAGAUAGAGAAAUGAUGACUGGAAAAAUUUUCCUGAUCAUAACAGGAAAUUUUAGGGAAAACAAAAAUCAAAGUUUCGAAAUUUCUAUCAGUAAGCCCUACCUCGCGAUGCUUGUUGUUUUCUUCAUCCUCUUCUUGGUCCCUGAUUCUUGCCAGUUCUAAUGCUUCGCUCUUAAAUUCCAUUUCCAAUUCUUCCAAGCUCCGUUGAUAAGUAGGCAAGUCAAACUUACGCUCAGAACGAGACUCCGCCCUAUGCCUCUCGGUAUCCAAGCUAUUAGACCUAUGUGACCUGGAAUUACGAUCGUACCCAUCAUACUGUCUAUAUGCAUCACCGCCAAAAGAAGAGCGUGGUGGAGAUUUCGGUCGAGCUGAACGGCCUUUUGCUCCAUCAUUAGCAUAAGCUUCGCGAAACGAAUAAUGUGUAAGCGAUAUUACACUUUAUUAUAUAUUCAAAGGAGGAACAAUGCCAGAUGCUAUAAUAUUUGCUAGUUGAUCCAAUCCAUAAAAGUCUGAAAUACUUUGAGCAAACAAAUUUGAAUGGAAUAUAUUCUGUCUGACCCGGAACCAAGCAGAAAUCACUUGAUAUUCCGACACAUAAAGCUUGAACUUACCUCUUGCUACAAAAGAGGGACAGAACGAUAGGUAAUUUGGUAUAUCAUAAGACAAAGAAAAUUGGACUACCCGAACUUGCUAAGUUCCAACUACAGAAAUUUCUCUUAAAAAGCUGCUUCUAUCUCUCGUAAUGUCCCUACCUUGUGGAGAAUCCCUUGCAUAUUUGUGCAUAUUUUCACGUACACGAUCUUCAACACGCCUUUCCUGAUUAAAGCCUCUGUUUUGGACAAGUGACGUAUCUCUCGGACUAGAAUAAGAAGACCUUUGAGAUUCAGAACGCCUAAAGUGAGAACCCCUAGGGCUUCCAUCAGGGGAUCUCGACCGUGUCCUAUUUGAACUGUUGGGACUUCUGCUUUUACGUUUAUCCUCUUGAAUUAUUUUAUGCACCGCAUCUACACCUUUAGCUAGUAUUAACCUAUCCUUCCCACUAACUAUCAAAAAUUUCUCAUCCAUUUUAAUUUUGCAUCCAAUGUCCUUUUCAAUCUGACUUAUCACCUUUGGAGAGAAAAGUGCUCUCACUUGUUUAUCUCUAGCUGGAACUCUCUCAAAAAAGUCUGCAUUUUUACGAUUUGCCCCGAGAGUAGAUGGACAACCCUGUAAAAAAGGCAGGAAAAAAAAAUGAUAACAUAACCAUAUAAGAACACUGAUAAAACAUGCAAACAUGCAGCAUAUAGACGUAAGGCAGGAAUAAGUUUUCUUUUUUCUUCCCCCUGAAUCAUUCAGUGGAAUCCUAAAGUAUUUUGCAGAGACCCCUUAACUGCAGUCCAUUUUGAAAUAGGCCCCUUGAGCACUUUUAUUUUGAUUGACAUCCCCUCAACAUUUAAUUAUUUUGAUUCGACAUAUUUUACUAAAUUGAGUUGGAAAAUUAAUUAAAAAAACAGAUUCUUUAGCUAUCAGUCAUUGACUGUUAUUGAACAGAAGUUAACUUAUGAGCUGUUCAGAAUAGUUAACUGUAAUAGAUGCACCGUUAAAUUUAAAAAUAUUCCAAAUUUGAUUGUCAAAAUAACUUGAACCAAAAGUUGAGUGCAAGGCAAUCAAAAGAAAAGUAGUAGAAGAAUCAAUAAUUACGGAGGUUCCUCCACAUUUUUUUACCAAUAGUAAAUUAAUGGCUCAUACAAAUAUAAAUUAACUUAAUUCACAAUCAAUGUUUACUUAAUCCCAGAUUUUCCUGAUGAAACAACUCAAACCAAAACAAGCAAAAACUUGAGAAGGUGUCAAUCAAAAAAAUAUAUAUAUAGAGAGAGAGAGAGAGCGGCUACAAUGCUAUCAAUAGCACCAAGCGCUUGGUGCUACUAAGUUUUCCACCGUUAGAUUUACACCUUUGACCAUUUCUACCCGUUAGAUCAUACUAUUCAACUAACCACCCAUUCAACCCUAGGGGAUCACUAUCAUCUUAACCGCACAUCGCUUGGAGCUACUAAGUUUUCCGCCGUUAGAUUUACACCUUUGACCAUUUCUACCCGUUAGAUCAUACUAUUCAACUAACCACCCAUUCAACCCUAGGGGACCACUAUCAUCUUAACCGCACAUCGCUUCAUCCAAGGGCCGAAAACGUAAUACCACCAAUGACUUGGUGCUAUUGAUAGUAUUCUAGCCUAGUUCUCUCUCUCUCUCUCUCUCUCUCUCUCUCUCUAUAUAUAUAUAUAUAUAUAUAUAUGUGUGUGUGUGUGUGUGUGUAUGUACAUGUAGGUGCUACUGAUAGUAUUCUAGCCUAGUUCUAUAUAUAUAUAUAUAUAUAUGUGUGUGUGUGUGUGUGUGUGUUAUGUGUAUAUGUCUGUGUAUAUGUAUAUGUAUAUGUAUAUACGUGUGUGUGUAUAAAGUUGAAGGUCUAUACAAAAUGACCAAUAGCUAAGAGGCACUACAAACAUUUUUACCAAAUGUUCAUUUAAUGAAAAAUCUAUCUUUAAGAUUACUGAGGAAGAAAACUUACAUACCUGUGUAAAAUGACCCAAUUCACCACAUAUUUUGCAGAUCAUUUCCUCUUCCUUUCUUUUCUUCCAAUUCCUUUCAGUAGCCUUCGCCUUUGCCUCCCACACCUUAGCCUCUCUACUAGUAAAAUCAGUCGGAACAGCAUUAGGAUCCCGAGGCUCAUCUUCUUCAUCAGAUUGGCCACCAGGAAAAGCUCUCUUGUUAUCAUUUCCUUUUGGCACUGAAUUGUUGGCAGCGUUCGAUCCAACAGGUCCAGUGUAUGCUUUCCCAUAAACUUCAUUAAAGAGUUCAUCAUCUAUAUCGGGACUCGGAUCUCUCGCCAUUCAUAAAACAGAAUACAAGCCGAGGCCUUGAUCAGGUGCAAGAAUACAAACCCUGUUAAGUCCAGAAAGAUGAGCACCACUCAUGUGAUAUGUUUCUCAUUUUCAGCUCAGAAAAGGAGCGGAUAAACCAAUUACUAAAUUUAUGAAUCCCAUAUCUAUAUCUAUAUUUUACUGUUUUUAUAAGAAAAUAUAUUUAGUCGUUUCUUCUUCAACCUGUUUUGCUAGUUCUCGUAAUUCUACUAAUCUACUCUUACACAACGUAUUUAAUUCCAUUACCAUCUUCCACAUGCUCGUCUUCGGUAAUCAAAUUUCCUUACACUAAAUAAGCCUUCUUUGAACCUACCGCAUAACCUAUAAUAUGCUCUUUACAGUUAAAUAAAAAAAAUAAAAGGGUAAAAUGUAUAUAGCACCCAUACUACCAGAUAUCCCUGAAAAUUCCAUCCUAGGCGCAACCAAAGAAAAAAGUGACAACAACCAACAUUUACCUAUGUAAUGAUCUUCUAAACCUUGUUACAAGUACAUUUCCAGAAAAUCGACAAAAACAUUGGUUGUGGAUUGAUUACACAUAAAAGAGGCACAAAAAAAAGAUUUCGGGGUGGUGAAAGUUCUCCAAGUGUUUGGUUCCACAUAAAACACUUUUCAGUGGAAAACAGUUACGUAUUUUACACAAAACAAUUUGUUUCCAUUUUCCAGAUAUUUAUAAAUGGAGAAUGAAGAAUGAAAACUAUAAACUCCUCUUUGUCCCUCAUUAUCUUCAUUUUCUUUUUCCUGCAAACCAAACAUUUUAUGACAAGAAAACUAUUCACUUCAUGCCGAACCAAACUCCAACAAAGGUAAAUUUUCUUUUCCACGGGAAACACAUUUCCCCUGAAACCAAACACAACAAACGACACUUCCCUAUGAAACGAUCUUCUUAAUCUUGUUGUUUCAAGCAACACUGAGACAAAUGAAGCCAUUUUACAGAAGAUUCAACAAAAUUGAUCAAUAAGCACGAAGAAAAGAAAAAACAAGAGAAAAGAACUAACAAGAUCUAGUAAAUUACACCAAAAUAAAAGAGAGUAGAGAUUGGAUAAAGAAGAGCAAGGGAAUUACCUAUACUACAUCCAGUGAGAGAUCUAUGAAUAGCUUCGAGAGAAUCGGAGAGGAGAAGAGCGCGAGACGACGACGACGACGACGACGACGAGGAGGAGGAGGAGGAGGAAGCGAACGAAGAGAGCGAGGAGAGGAAAUGGAGAGGGUUAGGGUUAGGGUUAGGGUUUGUUGCGGUUGGGGGUUGGUUGAGUUGGGCCAGCCCAUUUACGAUUGCACGUUGUUUGGAUGAGGCCGAGUUCGAUUUUUACGGAGGCGGUAAAAGUAAUCCGAACCCAUUGGGUUAUCCCGAUUCGACCCGAUUUGGAUCGGGUUAUGGUUAUACUCAUUUUGGUAGGCCGAAAAGAACGGGUUUGGCCUUUUAAGGUUCUUAAGGUGUCCUUUAUCUAACCCGAUUUGGAUCGGGUUAUGUUUGUUUUCGUACAUAAAAUUAUAUUCCGCGAAUUACAAUAAAUCAGUUACAAUAUAUUUUAUGCAGUCCCACUGAAAAAUAAAGAAGCGUAUUAUUAUAUGCUUUCGUCCCAACACCUUUCUCGGCCUACUAGCUUUAGGCGAGCGUCAGUACCAAACGGGCUCUUGGUUUACAAUUAUUAUUUGCGGUAAAACUUUGUUCGAACGUGCGACCUUGCUAGCCGACAAAUUUACCAAUUAUAGUAUUAUCAUAUAACUCCUUACAAUGUAAAUAUAAACUUGGUUUAACAUGACUGUACAGAGCACUCGGUAAAUAUUCUGUAUGUUGGAUUAUGACACCGUUGCGAUAUCGUAUCUGUGCCUAUUCCAUAAAUAUUCUUACGAAUUUAUUUAUCUACAUACAUUUUUACUCUUUGAAAAUGUAGUUUCACAUAAAAUUUACAUGGAAUAACAUAAAAAUGAGUACCUUGCAAUAACAUGUGAGAGAAAAUUUUCUCUUCCAUAGUUUUUGGCACAUGCACCAUGCAUUCUCUCCUCUUAGAUUUCACUCAGCACAUCUCUUAACAUGCCAAAGGAGUGGAAAUCCAACAUUCUAAUUGUAUGCAACUGUUGUGAAUACUUUUCUUUUAUUAUUAUUACUAUUAUUAGGUUAAAUUACAAAAAAAAAAAAAUCCUUCCGUAAAUAUAUAUUUUUUCUUCCUGACUUUUAAAAAUCAACAUUUGGUCCCUUUAAAAUUUAUAAAAUAUUUUUAGGGCUAUACAGCAUUAAUGAGAGGGCAAAAUGAUCAAAUUAUCUUUACUUUUUCUGUAAAAAAAUAAUUUUUAAAUAUAUUUCUGUCGUUUCAAAUGGUAUUUUAGAUAUAAAUUAUAAGAAAAUAAACGAAAUAGUAAGAGAAUAAAAUAUAAGUUUUUGAAACUUAGGGACGAAAAGUGAAAAAAUGAGUAUUUAUAAAAAAAAAUUUAUGUGAUUUAACGUUAUUAUUAUUAUUGAACUUCUCGGUACGCUCUUGAAUUCCAGAAAUCUCUCCAUAUACAAAUACCAAUUUUUUUUUACCCACAAACUCAAAGGCUCUGUAGCCCCAUUUUCUCAAAUGCCCAAGGGAGAAAUCAAAUUCCAACAUCUUAGCAAGCAAUAUACUUUUGGUUUGCGAAAUGCUCCACUCAAAUAGAAAAAUCAUUACUUAGGCUCUGUUUGUCGUGUUCUUCUUGACGAGAUUAGUUAUAAUCAUCUGUUCUCCAUUUCAUCUCUAUUAUCAAGCGAAUUAUUACCUCCUCAAGAUUAACAAAUUAUUUUGUAAAAGCUGUGAUCAUAUAUGGAAAGUGACUGGGAGUCAAGAGGGCAAAUCAAUGCGCAGUCCUCGGCUGAUGUGGUGCACCAGGUCCAAACAAAGAAUUUCUUACCAAGUGGAGUAGCUGUUCCAAAAUUGUGGGCCAACAGUUUUCUCCUUUCCCAGCCCACAAUGAGCCCUUGAUAACAUAUAUAAAUAUAUAAUAGGGAAAACUUAAAAAAAACCCCUUGUAGUUUCACUUUUUCUCACUUUAGUCCCCUGGGAUUUAAAGUGUAUUAAGUUAGUACCAUGUGGUUUCGCACUUUCUCACUUUAGUACUCUGUGGUUUAAUAUUUCAUUCGGAGAAAAAUAAAACCACAGGGUACUAACUUGAUACAAAAAUAAAACCACAUGGUACUAACUUGAUACAAAAAUAAAACCACGGAGUACUAACUUGAUACACUUUAAACCGCAGGGUACUCAAGUGAGAAAGUGCAAAACCACAGGUACUAACUUGAUACACUUUAAACCACAGGGUACUAAAAUAAAAAAAAUGUGAAACCAUAAGGGGAGUUUUUGAAGUUUUCCCUGUAUAAUAAGGUGGGGCCUUUGUUAUCCAUCGUAAGCCCAUUUUAUUUUCCAAGCCAACUUUAUUUUGUAUAAACUAGAAGAGAAGCAAAGUGAAGAUAUAUAAUAUAGUAGUUCUAGGAUCAUUUAACCAAUGCAUAAUACUCCACAUUAACACAAAUUCUGAUGCAAAAUUAACUAAUUAACAAGAUACAUUCUCUUGACCGAAAAAACAAAAGACAAAAAUAAAAAUCGUUCAUUCUCCUGAUAACAUCUUAAGAGCAAUUUGCAUCCCUUGCACUUGCACCUUCAAACAUGCAAUGUAAUCCGCAGCCUCUCGAAAGAGCCCGCGGAGACCCACCGACGACUCACCGCCACUCGGCACGAGCCUCCGGAGUGCCCCGACAUGUCGGUCGAGGGCCCGAACUGGCCUUCUCGAGCUUACCAGAAGCUUUCUCCUCUUGACUUUGAGAAGCCUCCUCCUCCUCUCUAGAGCGAGUCGCACCGAGGCUCGAGCCCAACGUGACCUCAAGCUAAGAUGGUUUGACUUGUCGAGCUGUUCGGAGAAGCCGAUCGAGUCGAGAGCCAAGAGGAGGGAUUGUGUAGAGGAAGGCAUGGUUUGAUGUUGCUUUUGUGGAACCUUGCUUUCCUUUUUAGAGAGGACUUUUAGUCCUAGUGGUGCUAGUACAAGGCUCAAGUGUACCCUUGGCCUCAGGAGGAGCCCUCUUUAUAUAUGGUUUUGGAAGUAAGAUGUGUGUGGAUAGGCUCCCAAUCUCAUUAGUUUUAUAAUGCUUAUGGUAAUGAUUGUGGAGAUAGAGAGAGGGGUGGGGGAGUAUAUAGCUUUGGUGCAUGGGUAAUGUUUUUUUUUUCACUAACACAAUGCACAUGGACUCACAUGAACCCUUUAGAGGCCAACCUACUUCAUCCAUCCCUACCCCUUCUCUCCUUUCCAAUGUUCCCAUCCCUUUUUCUCAUCAAAACACCCUGGAUUAUUCUCUCUCUCUCUCUCUCUCUCUCUCUAGACAUAUUGUAUAUACUACAAAUGAGGACCUUCACACCCAAAAUCCAGCUCAAUCAUACAUGUCAUGGGUCCAUGGGUCCACUAUUGGGGCUCAAGGAGAGGAGAGGCCAAAGUGGUAAGCCCACUUAAGCUUAUUGUUUCCCUAUAGGAGACCCUAAAAGUGGCUUAAUCUAAGAAAUGAUGACAAUGUCUUCCUCAACAUCAAAGCAUCCUAAGAUUAUAAAAAUUGUACUUUUAUAUUAAUCUUUCAUUUCCCUAGCAUAUUUAUGUCGUCGUAGGCACGUAAACUAUAGAAACAAUUAAAUGAUUGAUUAUUUACGAGGGGGAUAAAAAAAGGGAAUUAGGCCCAUUGAAUCACAUGCUAAGUUAGGCCCCUCCUCUAGAGAAAACUUGUAUUGUAAUCCAUGAUUAAUUGGUUGCUUAAAGAGCAUCUUUUGAUCAUGGCCAUGCAUGGUUUAGGUACAAUGAAAAGAUUAUCCAUGUCAUGGUUCAAUUACGACGCAACGCGUGUAAGUAAGAAAAAAUUGUGAUUCCAAAUCAUAGUUGGCAUUCAUAUUCCUACAACAAACCAUACUACAAUUGUUAAUUAUUUGCUUUGUUGGUCACUUCUCACAUCUUCUAUUCCUAUAAACUUGGGCUUAUGGAGUAGUACUCCUCAUCCAUUUUCAAAAAAAACUAGGGAAAAAAAAAUAAAGAAAAGAUAACUAUCAUGAUGAAUAAUUGUAUAAACAAAAAGUAUUGCAAAUUUGAUAAGCCAAAUACUUUGUUAGGCUUCAUUUAAUUGCUACUCAGCCAAUAAAUGCUACAAGAAUGUUUUGGAAAUUAAUACAAGCUAAAGUCCAUAUAUAUAGUGUUUUCACCCUUUUAAGCAUAAAAUGGUUCAACUAUUAUUAUCCUAAUGAAAACUAAUGAAGCAAGUGUGAGAUGGGCCAUUUCAUGAAUCAUUGUUGUUAUGGUGCUAGUGCUUAAGUACCAUUAAUUGCAUGUGCUUUAGGCCGAAAAAUCGUGGCUAUAAUGAUCCUAGCUAGUGAAACCAUAUGCUCAAAGUUUUUGAACCCAAAUGAUACCUUGAUCAACUCUAUAUAUAGGUAGGUUAGUCUUAAUCAUGAGUUGUCUAUGCUAGCUGGCAUGCAUGCAUCGGAUAUAUAGCACAUAUCGAGUCAGCAAGGUAUCGACAUAGUAUAUCCUUCUAAACUGAUCAUAGCACAGUGUAAAAACUACUUUUUCUCUGCUUUUUCUUAAGAAAACAGUUCAAUAUAACGACGAUGAUUAAACUGAGGUAUGUUUAAGAGCUCAACAUCUCAAAUGCCGAAGUUAAAAAUGUCGCUGUAUAUCUUUCUUCUUAUUUAUUUUAUUUUGGAGAGAGAUAGGUAGCAUGCUACCUGCUUCGUUUAUUUCUUUUAAAAAUAAACUUAGCUGGAAAUGUGAAUCAUUUAGGAUUCGAACUUAGAAUUUCGGAUACCAACUACUAAGCUCUUUGUCAUUUGAUGUCGUUGUAUAUCAUACCCAGAAGAAAUCAAAAUGUGCAUGUGCCACUGCCCAAAUAGGAGACAACUUCUACGCAUGCAAGAGUCCCAUCAACAAUGCAACCAAAGUGGGGAAUAGUAUUUGGGGUGGCAAAUACAUAUGGGAUAUUCUUUGCUCUCCCAGUCCUUUUCCCAUUUUGAGCUAUAUAGUAGGUCUCACCUCCUUGAGACAUUGGUCUCCAUUUCUACAUGUGGUUGUGUACUGCUCUACAUAUGUAUCCUUGUCAUCUAUCAUGGCGUGUAUCAUCAUCAACCAUAUAACCUACCUCUCCAUGGGACCCCUUCUUUGGCUCCUCCCAAGUGGAAGAUCUAUCCAAACCCUAAUCAAUGUCCCAAUCAAAAGAAAAAGGCCAUAGUGUCCUAUCCUUGCCAUGAUUAUGUUCUCAUAUGUUUAAUUCAAAAAUGUUAGAUCAUUAGAACUAACCACAAUUUUAAAAACUGAAACUAUUAGCAAGGGGACAAUAUCCAUUCACUUAAACAUAAAGACCAGUGUGGCUAAGUUUUCGAUUGUAAUUUAAUCUUUUUGCGAAGCUGGAACCCUGUGAUCUCAAAGUUGAGAAGUGGAUACCUAACCACUAGCCUCACUACAACAGAAUUAAGUUAUAGGGACACAUGUUUGUGAUACUUUUGAAUAAGUGUCCCAUUUAUACUAAAAUUUAAAAAAACAUCUACUAAUGCCUAAAUAUAAAGCCCAAUCCAACUAAAAAUAAAAGAUUACCCUACUCAACCCACCACACCCAGUCCAUUUGGCCCGAUUACAAACAGAAAAGAAAAAUAAAAGAAAAAUUAAUUACCAUCUUUUCUUCUCUCUUCACUCAAUCCACUGAAAUUUUAGACGAAGAGCCUUUCCUGUCGUCCUCCUCCGCCACCGCAGCCAACGAGAUAGAGUUUCCGCGGUUGCUAAAUGCUUAAAUAAGUGUUGGUAAAUUAGCAGUACUCUUUUAGGUUAUAGCGACACUCUUUAACUGUCACUAUAUAUCUAGCGACCCCACAUAUAGCAACACUUUUUAAAAGUGUCAGUAAUUUUAGCUAGCAGCAUUUUUUUGACAUGUACCUAUAUUUAAAAGUGUCGCUAUAGACUGUUUUUGUUGUAGUGACCGGUACUCAAUGAUAUCGAACUACUCUCAAAUCUUUUGUUUCUAACUUUUUAAGAUUUCUUUUUUUACACUUU